UUUCAAAUGAUAUUAUUUUGCAAUAAAAUUUUAUUUAAAUCAAUUUGUUCAAAAAUUUACAAUUAUAAGUUGACGAAUAUAUUACAAUUAAGGCACUAAAUCCUAAUUGUCAUAUCCUUGACCUAGGACGUCAUGUCACCACCACGACAAGGAGAAAAGGUAUAACCCUGUUGUCAACAAGCCUAGUGUCGAUAGGCCAAUUUGUCCGGCCCCUUUUGAAACCCAAAAUAAACCAAGAAAAAAGAAUAAACAAAACAGUCCAUUAAUAUUCUAUUUACAGCCCAAUACCUAAGCCCAAUUACAUGACCCUAUAACUAAUACCCUAGCCCAGUUACAAAACAGCCCAAAGCUCCAAGACCCAAAUGGCCCAGAAACUGAGCCCAAUUUCUAAGCCCAAUUACAUGACCCUAUAACUAAUACCCUAGCCCAGUUACAAAACAGCCCAAAGCUCCAAGACCCAAAUGGCCCAGAAACUGAGCCCAAUUUCGGUAAACCCUAGGGCAAAGGUCUCCUCGCUCCGCAGCCCUCACUGGCGGCCUAACCACGCAGUAGUCCCAGCCUCCACACCUCCGUGCGGCCUCCUGGCACCACGCCCACGCCCCGUACGCCAGCACAUGGCUGCGUACCCGAGCGCACACCCGUACCUGCAAGAACACAGACAGAGCAGUAGCCAAUACCAAAGCAAAGAAAAAACUUGUAUUUUUCUUUAUUUUUUUUUGAACAUUCAACUAUAAAAGCCUACUAUCUUCGAUUGUAAACUUUUUUUUGAAGGAGGGACACAAGCACAUUUCUACACACUGAAUACAAAAAAACGCGAAAAAAAAGGAAUAUACACAUACAAUAGCAAUCGAAUACAGAGGUUGAAUAUUCUUCAAAGGUGGUUCCUUUUUAUUUUUUUUACGCCUCCAUUUUUCCAUUUCUGCUUCGAAAUCUAUCAAAAACGCAAAAAGAAAACGAAAGAGGAGUUUACCUUGCGAAGCUAGCCGUCGUUUCCCCUUCACUUCGUCGAAAUCGAAGUCUGAAUGGGGUCUCAAGGGCCAAAACCACUCUUUUAGGGCUCGAACGCGCAGAUCGUUGUUCGUGUGGCACAUUAGUGCCGAGGGUAGCAUUUUGGGGUUAAUUGGGCAGCAAAAGGGGGAGGUUGAUACACUGCUAGGGUUUCGGCUGAAUGAAAACCCACUUAGUCUUUUAAAGAAGCAAAAACGGCACCGUUUAGGUCAAAUGUAACGGCCAAAAAAGACGUCAUUUGAAACUUUGCCCGGCGACCCGACCCAAUGGCCCCUGGGAUCCGCGCGUUUUCGCGGUGAGGGGUUAAUUUUCUUUAAAUCCCUCCCUUUUUGCGCCACGUUUAGAUCGGCCCAUCUGUGAUUUUUUCUAUUUUUUAAUUUUUUCCUUUAAUUUACGCUAUUUUUCAAUCAGGUCCGCACUUGUGCGCAGCGUUUUAGGGCCUGGAUUAAUUCCAGUUUGAGUCCCUAUGCUUUGUGUGCUUCGCACUUCAGUCCUCUUUUAGUUUUGUUUUCAAAUUAUGCCUUUGAUUUUGGAUUGAUUCUAAUUAAACCCUUUUAAUUUAUAACUUUUAUUCUUGACUGCUGAUUCAUACGAUUGUUUUAAAGUUUCUUUUUAUUAUGUUAAUAUCGUUAUUUUAUUUUCUAUAUACAUAUAUAUUUGUACAUGCACAACUUUGUUUUGUUUUGUAAAGUCACUUUGAAUUUCUUGUUGCAUUAAGUUAUUUUGAUAUUCUCAUAUAACCACUUGUGUAAAUAUUAUUAUAUAUAUAUACACACGUAUACUUUGUAUUAAAGCUAAUUUUAUUAUAUAUAUAUAUUAACCCCAUAUUGUUUUACAUACGUUUUUUUUAAAAAAUUUAUUUUUGUCUUGCGUUAUAUAAUCCUAUGUAAUAUUUUAAAGUUAUUAUUAUUAUAAUAUAUAUAUAUAUGCAUUGUGGAUAUCAUAUUUAAUCUAUACAUUAUUAAACUCGCGUAUUUUACGCAUAUGGUUUUCUUUCUAUAUAGGUAUGCUUUUAAAUCUAUCAUAUAACUUCCAAUAAAAUCAAGUUAAUUUUGUAUGCAUUACAUGUUUUUACGAAUAAUUACUUUUAAGGUUAUAUAUAAAUAUACGAUGUGUAAAUUCAUUAUGUUUCUAAGAUUAUGUUUUAUUAUACAUUUUUUGUAAUCUUUUCAUCUUUGGUACAUAUUUUAAAUUUUUUAUGAAAAUUGUCAUUUUUAAGCUAAUGUUCUUCAAUAUUUUGUAUGUUAUUUGAUUAAAAAUAUUUAUUCCAUAACAUAUAUUUUAAUAAUUAUGUACAUAUGAAACAAUUUUAAAAAUUUAUAUCUUAUUAUCAAUCUCAUGUUUUUUUUAAUAAACUUACAUGUAUAUAUGUUUUAUAAAUCUAUUUUGUGUAUUAUGUCUAGUCACAUAUUUUCAUUAUUAUUCUUUUAAAUAUAUUAUUUAAAUCAUCAUAUAGUUUGUCAACUUUUAAAUAUACUUGUGUUUAAAAUAUUUCAUAUACAAUUCGAUUCAAACUUUCAUUCUACAAUAUAUAUUUUAAUGAUUGCAUGUGUACAUUAAGCUUGUCUUUACAAAUAUUUUCUAAUUUGUUGAUCCAUCAAUUCAUAUAGUGUGUAUCAUGUACUUUUCAUAGUUUUAAAAUAGUUUCAUACCAUAUUGCUUCUUCGAUUUGCAUUUUUUUUUAUGCAUCUAGUAGUAAUCAUUUUAUGUUAUGACAUGCAUGUUGUUGUAGCAUAUUAUUUGUCCAUUGUCUUAUGUUGUCAUGUUAAUUAUUCUCCAUGCAUAAUUGAAGUUGAGUUAUAUUUUCAAGUUAGUUAUACUUAGUUGCUUAAGUGUUUGUUAGUUGAUUAAAUAAAUUGUAUUGCCUCCACUCUUCCAUUGUCGUGUUUUAUGCUACACUUAUUACCCCAUAUCAUCGUUUUCCACUCGAUUUUUGAAAUGUGGUUUUAUAAAAUCUAAAUUUUAUGGUUAAUUUCGUCUUAUUUCAAAUCGAGUUGAUGUGCUUUAAGCUAGUUUCACAACUAUUAGGAAUUCUUUAAAACGAAUGCGAUAUUCAAUACUUGGUAAUUCGUGGAAUCGUGCCCUAACGUGUUGGGUUGCAAUUUCUCAUUUACUCAAAGUAAUCGAAGGUCCCUUUAGAAUUUCACCUAUGUCUUUUAAAAAUCCCUUGAACGAAGGCGAUGUACUAUAUUUGGCAAUUCACAGAAUCGUGCCCUAAUGUGCUGGGUUGCAAUUUCUCGUCUACGUAAAAUAAUCAAAUAUCCCUUCAACAUUUCACUCGUGUCUUCUAAAAAUCCGUUAAAACGAAGGCAAUAUUCGGUGUUCGACAAUUUGGGAAUCAUGCCCUAUCGUGCUGGGUUGUGAUUUCUCGUUUGCUCAAAACAAUCGAAUAUUCCUUUAGGUUUUCACUCAUGUUUGUUAAGAACCUUUCAAAACGAGGAAUGUUUGAUGUUUGGUGAUUUGAGAAUCGUGUCCUAUCGUGUUGGGUUGCGAUUCCCUGUUUGUUCAAAACAAUCGAAUAUUCCUUUAAGAAUUUCACUCAUGUUUUUUUAAAUUCUAAAAAUAAGGCAAUGUCCGAUAUCUAGAAAUUCGAGGAAUCGUACUCUACUGUGCUGGGUUUCGAUUUUCUCAUUGAACUAGAUAAUUAGGCAUCCUUUUACGGUUUCCAAUAUAUAAAUUUCUGGAACUCAAAACUUAUCAUGUUUUCGAGGGUAGAAAGGAUCGUGUCCUAUUGUGCUGGAUGUGAUGCUAUAUUCCUCUUAAGCAAGAGAAUUUUGAUGACCGACUCGGGUUAUUCAAAUGUUAUUAAAAGAAACCACCUUUCAAAAACAUUUUUAAAUCUUAGACAUAAGGAUAACAUUUAAUCAAUUUGGUACCAAUUUUGGGCAUAGUGAGGGUGCUAAUCCUUCCUCAUGCGUAACCGACUCCCGAACCCGUUUUCUCAUAUUUUCGUAGACCAGAAUCGUUGUUUUAGUAAACCAAAAAUGUUUUAUUAAAAUAACCAAAUUCUUAGGUGAUCUGAUCACACCAAAAUAAGAAGAUCGGUGGGGACUCCAUGUAUUUGUUUUUCAAAAGUCGAUUCCCUCAUUUUUCAAUUGAUUAAAUUUUUUAAAUGAAAAGGGUGGUUUCGAAACCCAGGAUGUGUGGGCUCCUUUAUCCCCAAUAUAUAAACCCAACCACAACAUCUAAGAAGAAAAAGACCACGAAAAAAAACUUUUACUUCUGACCAACCUAAACUAGUACUUCCAAUCUCUUCCCUAUUCACCAAAAACUGUAACUCUUUGCCCUAGUUUAGGGUGACCCACUUUCACCUUAACCUUUCUCUCUCCCUUGAUGAUUCACCUGUCAAGAAUUUGGUGCGGUAAGCAUUGAAAACAAUUGUCAACCUAGAUUAUAAUGUCCUCCAAACCAAUGAGUACAGUCCUUGUAGUAUCCAACAAGAUCCCUAGAAAGAUUUAGCAGACUACACAUAGACAAGUACAAUAUAAAAACGUUUGCAUGCACAACCUAACCCCCAUCAGCAGACUCAGUAUAAUCCAUACCAACAAAUACAAUAUAACCCUUACCAACAGUAUUAUCAAUAACCCCCAUGAUAUUAUGAUUACCACCUCCGAACUCAUACUAGUACUCCUUGUUGGAAAAAGUCUGAUUUGAACAGUUUUCUUGCAUAGAGGAAAAUAAAAAUUUUGAAAUCCGACCCGAUUUUUUAUAUUUAUAGCAAUAAACUCUAGACUGAAUUCACACAUGUGUUUUUGAAUAGACGGAUCCUUUUCAUUCUUGGCUCUCAACUAAAUGAUCUUCUUUGCUAUUCUCGUACCACAAGCUACUUCAAAAUCCCGUUUUUGUAAACUAAACUUGUAAAUAUUGUUAUUAAAUAUUUAUGGAGUUAUAUUAGAAGUGAAUUCAAUUUCAGAUAAGUAAUUUUGUUGAAUUAGUGUUUAAUUAGGGUGCAAUGACUAAAUCAUAAAAGUGCCAAAAGUUAAAUUGUUAGUGAACCAUUAUGUAGAACUUAGCAAAGAGACUUAUGAGGCUAUUAAAGCAUUGUUAUAUUAAUAGUGGACAACAACAUGGGUUUUAAAUGGUUAAAAAUGUUGUAAAAAUGUAAUAAAAUAAAAUUGUAAAUUAAUUAAAAUAGGUAAUAAAAUACAUAGUGGAAAGUUAGUGGAGGAAAAACAUUUCUCCAUCUUUUUCAUGCUAAGUGAAGCUAGGAGAAGAAGGGGAGAAUGUCAGCCUUAGGGUUUUCCAUUUUCAAAGCUUCAAUUACUUAGUUCAAUUUAGUCAUUUUCUUGUAAUUUUUAUGUUUUCAAAAUCCUGGAAGCUUAAGUUAGUUGACCCAUGAAGAAUUUUUAGGUACUAUUAAAGAUUGAAGAUGUUACCAUUGAUAAGUUUAGAAUUGACAAAAGGAACUAAAUUGUAAAGUCAAUUGAUGGUUUUUUUCAAUAGAAGCUAAAAUGCACAAAUUUCAAUUUUUUGGUGGAAAUGAUAAAUAGGAAGUUCGAUUAGGACUAGAGUGAAAUUGACAUGAAAGACUGAGGCAGAUUUGAAAGUUAUGUUACUCCUAAUUUUAGAGACUAAUUGAAUAAAAUGAAAAAGUUACAUAAAUUAGCAAUUUAAUGUGAAAUUGGUUGUGUAUUGAUAAUUUUGUUGUUUUUCUUAAUCCAUAGCUAACGUUGACUUGAAUUCUCAAAAAAGAAAAGCAAAAACAAAGUCGUCGACAAAUAACUCAGAUUUUACAAUUUAUGUUCUAUAAUCCAAACUAUCUCAAUUGUUGCAUUUAUGAAUUUCAUUGAAUCGUAAGUUCAUAAGGUGAGUUAUAAUUGAUAAAAUGGAUUGAAAUGAUUCGAUACGAAUUGACUGUCUAUGUUAAGGACCGAAUUAAAUAAAUUUGAAAAUAUUAUGUGUAAUUUUUAAAUAUGAAAUUGUAUUAAUGUUGUGAUGAGUAGGCUGUUAUAUAUGUAACACCCAGUACCCAACCUAGACGUUAAGACCAAGUCAGGAGGCUACAUCAAACCAAUAGAAAAAUCCAACCUUAAUUGUAUAAAGUUAAUAAUCAAAAUCAUUGACAUGAACAAACCAAUGUAGAACUCCAAUUUAUAAAUUGAAAUCUUAACUAAACGCAUAAAAGCAUAAGUUUAAAUAAAACAUUAAGUAAAAAGAAACGAGAUGACGAGCUCCUGCCACGCCAACCUACCUAAGUUCGUGGGUUACUUGAAAUUUAGACAAAAAUCCAAAUGAGUUAAUAACUCAGUGUGUGUGUAACUUAUACUCAAUAUCAAUUAGUAAUAUACAGACGUAAUUUCACUUUCCACAGAUUAACCAUUUCUCAAAAAUAGAUACAGAAACAAAAAUAAAGAAUAUCAUAUACAGAUGCAAAACGUAUCAAAUACAGAUGCAGAUUCCUACCCCAUCUACUACACACCUCACCGUCCAUCCCGACACACCAUACAGGACAUCAAGUACCCAUCCAUCCUUACACAUCGCGUAGUGACUGUAUGUCACAUUUCAGAAUAAUUGUAGUAUAGCUGCCAGAUCAGAAUGUGAUAAAUCGCCAAAACCAGAAAUGUGUAUAGCUUAGCCACCAGAGUUGACAGAUUAUUAAAUGUCUCACACUUCUUUCUUUAUUCAGUUUCAAUCCUGAUGCAGAUGUAGAUUUAACAAGUACCAAAUAUAAUGGCAUAAUAAUACAAUUUCAGAUUGUGCUCAUGUAAUGCUAUCACUCUUACUUAUCAGAUCACAAAACAAAUGUUAUAUUUAUAUCAAAAUAACAUAUUAUCCAGAAAAAGAUUGUUAGAUAACAGUUUCAAUGUCUAAAUCAAAUCAUACGGACUUUACAGUAGGCCUACAUUUGAUUUGAACGACGAUUAUGGCCCUAGGGAAAAAUCCUAAUUUUUGGCUCACACGCCCGUGUGGAUUCACAGGAACAAAGUGGCUAGCCUGUUUGGCCCAAAUGACCUAGCACACGCCUGUGUGGCUCAAAAAUGUGAGUUACAUGAUCUAGCUCUUGGCCAAACGCACGUCCGUGUGACUCAAAGCUCGAAUUAUCUCUUACACAACUUGGACACACGCUCGUGUCUCUGGCCUUUUUGUUUCUAAAUCCAAAACAGUGAGUUACAUAGCCUAGACACAUGCCCGUGUCCUUGGCGCAUGUGACCCUAAUUUAGAAACAGUGAGUUACACGGGAGUGUGGCGUCGACAACCAUGUCUUCCAGCGUUCGCAAAUUGUAGAAAGUCUAGUUUUCGUUAAGCACUUGGUAUAGUUUCAAUGUAGGAAUAACGAAGAAGAAUCCUAGGACCUAAAACGACCAUUCAAUAAGAAAUUAAAUGACCUAAUCAAAAAAAUGCAUACAAUUUAGCACUUAACUAACUAUGUCAAAAACUUCAACACAAAACCUCCAAAUAAAGCUAACACUUACUGACGAGUCAACGACAAUUGCUCAAAUUAGCGCAUUAGAGAUCGUUAUCUUCGAUAUCUACACCUAAAAAGAAAAUCAAAUGAAGCUUAACAGAGAAUUCAAGCAAAUCAAAUAGAAAUCAACUUAAACAGAAACAGACAAAAACGAACGUUUAAUAGAAAUUCUACAAUAAAACUCACGCAAUUAACCUUUCAGUUGAUAAUAAUGAAAUGUGCACUUCCCCGAACACAGUUGUAAAAAUUUAAUGGAAAAGUUCAACAAUUGAGAAAACAGAAAAAAAAAGAAAAGAAGGGAAAAGGAAAGAAGGAAAAGAAGAAAAAAAAGAAAGAAAUAAUGUAAAAGAAAAAAAUAUAAAUUUGAGGAAACCAUUUAAUUUUUUUUAAAACAAAACUAAUUCUACAGACUAGCAACAACAUAUCCCUGUUUCGCUUACACAAAGACUUAAACACAGGAUUAGGAAGUAUAUAGAAACUUAACCAUCAAACCAACAGGCUCGUUCUUAAAACAUAUUAACACAAAAAUAAACUUAAGUAAAAUGUUCAAGGAUAAGGGUCAAGUCAAACAAAAUAACAAUAUUUCCAAAAGUGAAGUUUGAACCCCUGACCUCCAACACACAAAUAGAGCACUUAGCCACAAAUACAUGGAUUUACUUAUAUCAGAAUUUAUUAAACAACACUCAAAUUUUUGGGCAUUACGAUAUAUGAGAAUAGUUAAUUGGUUGAUUAGGACUAUAAUAUGGAAAUUCAGGGUUACUACGUGUCGGGGAGUAUUGGGCACCCCAUUUUUCAGUUAUACCAACUAAUGCUGGGCACAUAUAUUUUUCGGUUUUACUAACCAGUACAGGAUGUAAAUUAUUACUUUCAAAUUUAUCCGACAUACACUGGGUGCCAAAUUGGUGUGUUGAUUAGAUCCGCAUAUCCGUUCGAGUUCGAGUCAGGUUAAUAGGGAAAUAAAAAUGGAAACUGGAAUAAUGAUCUGUGAAAUGAAUAGGAAUAAUGAUUAUUAUGUUCUUGAAUUCAUGAUAUGGGAAAAUUUGAGAUGAAGUGAGAUAUUAAUGCUUGAGAUUUCAAAUGGAAUAUGAGAUGGAAGUGUUAUACCUUAUUCUAGUAUGUUUUGUUAGAUUUGGAUAAUGAAAUCAAGAAGUGUUUUAAUUGACAUGUUAAUUACAUAUAAUAAUUUAUUCUUAACUUAUGUAUUUUAAAUGCAUUAUGAUAUGUUUUAAUGUUUGGAUUAUAGAAAUACCACUGAGUUAUACUCAGCAUACAAUUUUAUUGUACUUAAAUGAUUAGGUUAUGAAUUCCACUAUUAUAAGUGAAGUCAUGUCAUGUAGAAAUCUUAUAUCAAAUAUACCAACUUUCAACUCUAUUACCAAUUUCAUUAAGGCUUUUAAUACAUCAAAGCACACAAGUCACACACACACAUAUUCUAUUAUUUAUUUAGGAUUGAGGUAAGUCACACUAUGAACGUCACAAGUGAAUGAAUUCAUAAAUGAAUUUAAGAUUUAUUGUACUUGAGUCUUAUAUGAUGUACUAUUAGCUCAAACAAUCACAUCUAUGUCUCUAUAUUGGGAUUUAUCUAUUCUAAUACCCAAGAUAAUGUAUCUCUCUACUUAGACCUGAUAUAUGGCAUAAUAGUCUUUUAAUCAACUUGUUCAAUUUCAGUUAAACUAUAAACUAUUUAGAUUAUUUAUUAAUAUAAAUUGUCUUUUCACAUUAUGAUCUAACCACAUAAUGAAAAUUAAUAUUAGUUAAACGUUAUAAUCAAUGAGCUAAUAUUUGCUUUCAUUUUGCUUUGUGUGCAAAAACCUUUAAGGGCAUUAUACAAAAGAUUUUAAUGAUUUUGAUGAAUUUUUUUAACCCAAAUUGUUCAGAAAAUUACAAGUACAUUAAUGACAUUACUACGCUAAGGACACUAGAUCCCAAUAGUAUACAAAUCUUUCUUAUGAAUCCAGGAAACUUUUCACUUUUGAUUUCGUUUUAUGGGGCUGAUCAUUGUUUAAGAUAACUAAUAUGUCCUUGGAAUUGAUAUUGGUUGUGUCUGGCUAUAGGAACAUUUGUUUCUCAAUAUAUAUAUUGGUGAAAGUAAAAAUAUUAAUCAUCUAGGUUACAUAGAAAUAUUCUGACACCCAUUGCUUUGUCUACUUCUAGAAUUUCUCUGAUCUCCCUAGUAGGAGCGCCAAUGAUGGGUGUCGAAACCACAAAAUAAAAAUUCCUACAAUAAAAUAACUCUAAAUAGUAGUAAAGAGUAGUAGGGUCAAGUCCACAAAAAUUGGUAAUUAUAGUCAACUUUCGUUAUUCUCUUGUGAACAAAAUUUCUAUCGUAUCAAUAAUCGUGUCAAUAGUCGUGCCCACGACUCCAAACAAACCUGCUAAAAAAUAAAUAAAAUAAAUUAGGAGAGUUGAAAAUGUCUAGAAAUUAAAUGAGAUAGCAUAAAUUAACAAUUAUAUAAAUUGAAAAUAAAAUAAAAUUAGAAAAUGAAUUUGAAUUUUGUAAACAAAAUUAUAAAGCCUUAGCCUUAGACUCAAUGAAGCUCGAUUUUUGAAUCGAUCCUCGCAAAUAAGUUUUGUCCUCCAAACAAUAAGCUAGUUGUAGUGGCUUAUAAUGUUCAAACCACCAAUUCUUCCACUCAUAGUUGAUUCUAGUACGUCCUACAAACCAACCCUUACCGAUUAUCUAAUUGACACACGUGUUCACAAUUCAAGACCUUGAUAGCCUUGCAUUCUGAAGAACCCAACUUGAAUUAAUAGCCUCAACUGUGUGGGAUGUUUAAAUCCGAUCACUAUCUCCCUUGAAAAAAAUCCCACUAGUAUGACCAUGCCAGGAUACGCCAAUUUGUUGGAGGAAAUCUAAAUACAGCACGGCUGACUCAUCUUCCUAACUGUAUGCCAAAAUGACUCCAACCUAACACGUGCUUUUGAUUUGAAAUCGAGUUAAUUUUAAGGGAUAAAUUUUUCAAUCCCAAUAUUUUGGAGAGAUGUUGAAUACCGUUAUGAAAGAUUUUUAGCGCAGAUACAUUUCUCACAAUUCUUGACCGAAAAGAAUACCAGCCUAAAGUUAAGUAGAGAUUUAAUGAAGCAUGAAAUUAAUCAUGUUUUUGUCGGUUUAUGGAAAUAGCUUAAAUGGAAAUGGUGGGAGAUGAAAUAAGGGAAGGACUUGAGAAAUACUUAACCCUAAAUAUUGAAAAGGAAAAGAAAGUUGGCAGAAUGCCUGUUACUAUUUCACGCAAAAAAAAGAAAGAAAUGAAUUGAUUUUUUUAUUCAAUUUGCAGGAAUUCAAGGUGUGUCUUUUCAAGUCCACCAUACAUCCUAUUUAUAUACAAACCAUAUACUAAAAUUAGGCUAAUCCCACCUAUCCACUAAUUAUAUGAAAUAAAAUAUCAGAGUAACCUUUAAAUGUCUCCAAAUUUCUAAUUUGGCCCCUAUUAAAUUUUUCAUACUCCAAUUGAAUCAUUUUCUGCUUGUUUUUGCAUUAAAGCAUCUGAAUUGCGUUCCUGACAAGAUUUAAACAUAAAAUUCAUCAAUAAGUAGGAAUUAAUUCAAGAAUAAGUUUAUUUAAGCACGUAAAAUAAGCAAAAUAAAUAUGCUAUCGAAUCCCCCCUUUCAAGUCUUCCUUUCUACCAAAAGCCAUUUUGGCUAAGCAAUCUGCAACUUGGUUAUUCUCCUUAAAAAUGUGCCUUAAAAGCCAUUGACCUUCAUGAGACAUAAUGCGUAGGAAGUAAUCUGUAACUUGGUUAUUCUUCCUAGAAAUGUGCUUAAAAGCCAUUGACCUUCAUGAGACAUAAUGCGUAGGAUCCUUCUGAUCAAAGCAGAGUUUGAAGUAUUCAAGACACUUUAUGGAAUGACUCUGACUACCUCCAAACUGUUAGAUUGAAUUAUCUCCUUAUCAUGUCCUCUUCGUUAAAUGAGCUUGAGACCAUCCAGAAUGCCCCAUAGUUCAACAUAAAAAAUUAAACACUUCCCUAGAUAUUGGUUAUACCCAAAAACUCAAUCCCCAUUUUUAUCACGCACUACCUCCCAGCAACAGCAAGUCCCGAACCCAACUUGUCACAUCCCAAAAAUUGGGUUAGUAAAAAUUAGGUUAAUGAACCAAGAGUGGUCACACCCCGAUUAUUUUUUAAGGUUAUUGUAAUAGCCCAAAUUUACCCGGGCCCGUGAAAUAAAUAAAUAAAUAAAUAAAAACAAAAAAAACAAAAAAUUAUUAAUUAAUAGAGUCCAUUUACAAGUUCAUUAACAAAACCCAAAUACCUAAAACCCAACAGCCCAACUAAUGACCCAAGACCCAAUUAGCCUACACUACCCAAUACCCGGUUACACCCAAAGCCCAAGUACCUAAAUGCUACCCAAAGUUUAUACAUAGGGCCCAAAUGGCCCAAUAAGUUAACUGAAGGCAGAAGGCCUAGGGUUUCAGAAACCCUAGGCGCCGCAAAAACCCCAGCUAUCACGUCGUUUCAUCUCGCGUCGUUCCAGUCUCCAUCGACGCCGUAACUCUAGCCUUGUUUUACUCAGUAAUUGGCGUGCCAAUCCUGUCACCGGUAGAUUUGUAUCAUCAGCACAUGAAUCAACACCAGCACGUUCAUCGCUAGAUUUCUCAUCGUCACCUGCAAAAGAGGAAAGAAAAGCACAGCAAACAUGGUAAGAAUCGAGCAUAGAAUAUACAAACUUGUAAAUAGAGGCUAUAAAAAGCCAAAUGAUUUCACUAUAACGGAGGGGGGUUUUUUUAGAGACAAACUUAGAGACAAAAAGUGACGAACAGAUAUACGCAUAUACAGCAAAGAAAGAAAUAAAAGUAUUUUAAAAAAGGUGAUUCAGUUGUCUAUUCAUUUCUGUUUCUUUUUUUUUUCUAUGCUUAAGAAUCAUUUCUUUAAAAACGGGCUGUUAAUAUUUAAAAGAAAAAGGUUACCUGAGUUUUACCUGGAAAGAUGAAGGUUUUUAACCUUCCAGCCACCGUGUACGGUGGCACGUGUGGGGCGUGGACAUGUGUUGCCCAGUGACCGGAGGCCGGAGGCCGGAGCCUAGAUGGCCUUUUCCUUUCCUUUUUCAGAGGAUUUUAAAGAUUUUUUUUUGGAACAGUUUCUAAAAUGAAUUUUCGGCCAAAAAACUAACUUAAAUAGCACAAUGAAAACAGUGUCGUUUUACUUAAUCUGAUAAGUACCAAAAUGACACCGUUUAAGCCCAGGAUCUGCAUGUUGACCCGAAACUCGGAUGAGAUCCGCGUGUUUUUAUUAAAAGGGCAAAUUAUUCAAUCGAUCCUUCCGCAUUUUUAAUCUUUACAAUUUCAUUUUGUUUUUAUUUUAAAUUGACCCCAGUCUUCUACGAUUAAUUCAAUCUAGUCCUAAUGGCUAUUAAAGCCUAUUCUGGGAACGACGUCGUUUUAUGGGAUUAGGGCAAAUUGCCCAGUGAGUCCCUUGUAGUUUUGAAGGCGUUCCAAUUAGGCCUAAAUUUUUUGUUAUUUUAAAAUUAGCCCUAGAACCCUAGUUUUAUUUAAUUUUAAUCAUUUUAAAUAUUUUUGCAUAAUUUAUUUAUCAAAUACCUUAUAUAUUAUUUAUUUUUAUAAAUAUUAGUUAUAUAAAAUAGUAUAUAUUAUUUUUUAGUCAUAUAUUAUUCAUUAUAUUAUUUUUAUUAUUAUACAUUUUAUUUAUAAAUUUUAUUAUACAUUAUAUAUUUUACUAUAUAUACUAUUCCUUGCAUUUUGUAUUUUUAUUUCAUUAUAAAUUAUGUAUUAUUUUAUUAUUAAUUAAUUUUGUAAAAUUUUAAUUUUUUUAAAUUAUUAUUAAAUAAUAGUAUAUAUAUUAUCCUUAUUUAUAUGAUAGUUAUCAUAUUAUUAUAUUUCAUUAUAUUUUAUUUAUAUAUUUUGUUACAUAUCAUAUAUUAUUAUAUAUUAUUCCCUAUAUUAUCUUCCUUUUAUUAUAUAUUAUUUCAUUAUUUAUUUUUUAUUAGUAUAAAAAAUUUAAAUUUGUAAUUUAUUAUAAACUAAUACAUAUAUUGUUAUUAUAUAUAUAUUUAAUGUCUAUAUCUAAAAUUUACUACAAAAGUUUGUUCUAAUUUAACAUCCCUUUUUAUAAAUAUAUCAAGCUACUAUAUUAAAUAAUAUAUAUUUUUUAAAUUUUUUUAUUACUUAUAUAUUGCUUAAUAUUUUUUUAUUGUUUUCAUUUUGUUUUAUUUCAUCCUUCUUUUAUUAGGUAUUGUUUUAACACGCUAAUUUCAUCUUAUAAAUUAUUUGUUAUUUAUCAUGUUAUUUAUUUAUUGUUAUGUAUUCGCGUGCAAAUUGAUCAUUUUAUGUUAUUAUGUUAAGAAUAUAUUCGCAUGAAAUAUUAUUAUAUAUGUUUAAUUUCAUUAUUCUUGCUGCUUUGUACUUUUGUAUGAAAUGAUAAUGUGUAUAUUCAUGUUAUUUGUGAUUAUGUAUGUAUGGAAUAUUAACGUAUAUUGUGUGAUUUAUGUCAUAUUUACCAUUUUCAACAUUAUAUUUGCAUGAAAUGUUAAAUACGUAGUUUAAUUAAUCCAAUAUUGAUCUUUUGUAAUAGGUUAAAUGCAUUAUCGUUUUUUAAUUUUUAUAUUUCAUUUAAUCUAAAGGAAUCUUAAAAAACAAGGCAAUGUCUUUUGUAUUUAGGAAUUCGAGAAAUAAUGCCCUAACAUGCUGGAUUGCGAUUUCCCGUUUGUCUAAAUAUCUAAAGUAUCAUUUUAAUAGAUUUUACAAAUUACGAGAUGAUUUUUUAGUUACGAAAGUUUAUGAAUAUCGUGUCCAAUCACGCUGGAUGUGAUGUUCGCAUUCUUUUGGGACGAAGGAAUUUUGACUUUCAACUCAAAUUAUUACGGCUUUAAAAGAGAUCUUAUUGCUAAAUUCUUUCAAGCUUUUGACAUUAAGACAAAAAUUAUUCAAAUUGGUACCAGUUUUGGGCUUUACGAGGGUGCUAAUCCUUCCUCGUGCGUAACCGACUCCCGAACCUAUUUUCUCGUAAUUUCGUAGACCAAAAUGUUUUAUAAAGUGAUCCAAUCACAUUUAAAAGGUUGGUGGCGACUCUCGUUUUCAAAAUACCCUCCCCAUUUAAAACGAGGUUUCGACAGCUUAGCGACUCCACUUGGGACAAUAAGAGAGUCAAGCCAAGAAAUUGAUUAUUUUCUGUCUUAAUGUUGGAAGUUUGAAAAAUUUUACAUAUAUUGAUCUUUUUACAUAUGUUUGCUGCAUAUGUUUGUUAUCUUGUUUUCGCACACAUUGCAUUUGCAUGACCGCUGUGGUCGCACCCCUAAGUGGGAGUGAGAAGCUACGCUUUCGUGAGGUUUUUAUCUCCAUAUGAGCUAGUGGAUUGCUUCCAGGAUACUGUACCUAUGUCUUCGUGAGAUUUUCAUCUCCGCAUGGCAAUAGGGAAAUGUGUCCCCCUAAACUGAACUUGAUCUAUAUGAGCCUAUAAUGGGUGAGGACCGAGGAAUCUGCUGGUUCAGGUACCCUUGCUUUAGAGCUGAAACGCAUAUAGUGAGCUUUAGGUGCUUACCCAAGGGAGUAAAACCUUUAGAAAGCUAUCAAAAUAAAUGCUUGUUUGUUAUACUUUUAUAUGAUACUGACUUACGUUAUUUUGCUAUCAUUGCAUGUCACUCAACAUUUAAAGGUGUUGAUUCACGGUUCAAUUUCUAGAUUAGAAAGUUUUGUAAUGAGGAACGAAUAUCUUGAUAAAGUGGAGGACAAUGCCUCUGUUUGUACCUGGUCAGAGAAAACCCAGUUAGAGAAAGGAGAUAGUAUUACCGAGGGGUAUACCUCAGAGUUAUGGGAUUUCACUCGUAUUAAUUCGACAUAGAAUGAGUUUCAAGAGUUGAGAGACAUUUGGGCCCAAUGGGAUGACGAGGCUAAGCAGCUUUUCUAUCAGAAUUAUGGAGAUCUUCCCUAUUUGCUAGACAUCAAGGUGGAUAAGCAUCUGUUCCAAGCUAUGGUAUAGUUUCGGAACACUGCCUAUAGUUGUUUCACAUUUGGAGAGGUAGACUUAGUCCCUACUUUGGAGGAGUAUACGACCUUGCUUCGCUGCCCAAAAAUUCAAGGUAACAAAGCUUAUGUUAGGGCUGCUAAUCCCCCAACUUUCGUGAAGAAAUUAAUGACAAUUACAGGGGUGAGUGAAUAGUGGGCCGCAGCUCGAAUCCAACAAAAGGGUGAUAGCAAAUGCAUUCCGUGGGCAAGUUUGAGGGAUUUGAUAUUGGCACACCCAGAUGUGAAGAAAAAGGUUGAUGUUUUGGCUUUAAGUAUGUAUGGAUUGAUGAUUUUCCCAAAAGCUAUGGAGCACAUAGAUGAGGCAGUUGUAGAUUUAUUCGAUCGAAUUAGUAAACAGAACACGCCUGUGCCUGCAAUCCUGGCCGAGACGUUUAGAUCCUUGAGUGCAUGUCGGAUAACUGGUGAAGGUAGAUUCAUUGCAUGUGUACAAUUGUUGUUAGUUUGGUUCCACAGUCACUUUUAGAAGGUUGAUAAGGUUCCUUGCCGGGUGUUCUUUAAAGACUAUUCUCCGCUAAAGGAAGUAGUAGCUAUACUGAGGAGGGAUGCCAUUACAGAAGAAAGGUGGAUAAAAUAAUUUAGAACCUCCGAGAAGAAGAUGUUAUGUGGAAAGCCCCUUGGAUGACCCCAAGCGAAAUUCUUUAUCGGUGCGGAAGCUUUGAUUGGGUACCUCUUCCUGGAAUUUGGGGAGUUGUUGGUUAUACACCAUUACUUGUCUUAAAUUAAUAAAAGGCGGAGCAGUUUAUAUCGGCAACACAAGGGCUAGCUCAGAGUGACUUCUCAUAUAAGGGGGAUCACUCUAAGAAGAAGAUGCGAGAAAUUUCUGAGGCUUGGAAGAAGGUUUGCUGCGUGAAGAUUCUAACUAAAGGUCCGACGUCAACUCUUGAAUACAAAGGGUGGUUUGGUAAGAGGGUCAAUGAUAACAUCCUUAUACCCAGUUUGGAGGCUGCUCGAUCAAUGGAGGAGAAUUUAUGAGUGAUUCCAUUAUAUUUAGAGGUCAUAAAGUAAGAGUUCGAAAGGAAGAGUUUGGAGCUUGGAAAAAAGAUAGAGAGGCUCGAUGAGGAAAAUAUGUACCUAAGCUUAGACAUUGACGUUCAGAAAAUCGAGGUCGAAAAUGUAAGAAAAGAAAAGAGGAAGAUUGAGGAAGACUGAGAUAAUUUGAAGACACAGUAUAAGAAGACACAGCUAUCAUUGAAGAGGGCUAGAUUGGGGAAGUCUUCAGAGCAGUGGCAACAAGAGGUUCAAGAAGAAAGAGCCAAAGCUGAGUAUUGGGAGAAGAAGUUCCAAGAGAUGCAAUCGCGUAAUCAGGCCCUAGAGAAGGAGAAUCAAGGAUUAAAAACUAAGGUAACUGAGCUGGGACGAUCCCUUCAUCAUCACCGAAGUCGUAACUCUAUGGUCGAGUUAAAGGCAAGCCUGGAUAAGAUCGAGGAAAUAAAGCACAAUAUUGGAGGGUUGGAAGCAGCACUACAUGACUGUGAGCUACGGAUUGAGCAGCUCGAGGCAAGAGAAGAACAUUGGAAGGGAGAGCUUCACCAUUUUCAGGAUCAAGUCAGAGAUAGGGACUACCUCAUGGGAGAAGCUAUAGCACAGAUUCAAGAGGUUGCUGAUCAUUUGCAAGCUAAUGUGUUAAGUACAAAGUAUGAGUUAGUGUCAGAUAGAGGUCUAGAGUUAGCUUCCUUAUUGAAUAGGGUUAAAACUUUGGGCCUGAGGGCAAAGGCGUACUUGUAAUCCGUUUUGUGUAAAGAUUUUUGUUUCUUAAAUAAUGUUUUCUAAAAGAAAUUGAAUCAGAAUCGAUAUCUUUUUACAUUCAUGCAUUUGCAUCUCAUCACAUCAUAUGCAUCCAAAUUUAUAGAAAGACCUUAAUUAGCUAAAAUUAAUAGGGAGAAAGAGAGUAAAAGAAAGAAAAUCUGGAAGCAACACAUCCUUACGGUACACGCGCUAAGUCAAAGAAUAUGGAUCAAAGACUCGAGCAGAUUUAGAAAUAAAUACAGGAGAAAUUGCAAGAGCAAUUAGCAAAAAUCCAACAGGAGAUGAAGGAUCAAAUGUUGGAAGCUCAAAAGAAUAUGAUGGCUGAGAUGGCUCAGCUGUUGAGGGGGACAACAGAUACAGGAAAGGCCCCUAUGACUACCACUGAGGAGGAUAACGAGGGUCAUCCUCCUGGUUUUACUCCGCCUCAUUUGUAGACUCAACCUGAGGCAUAUCCCUGAGGGCCGUCCGUCACAAUAAGGCCUCAACAGGGACAAGUCGAUGCUGGAAUACCCAUAAACUUUCAAACUGGUUCAGGAUUCAACCUUGGAGACAACCCUGCCAAUCCAGUUAUACCUGAUCUAGAUGUAGCUGAGAGGGAAGAGAUGAGACUCGAAUUAUCAAGGCAAUUAGAGGAACGUUGUAGAUAGUUAGAGGAGAAAUUUAAGGCACUAGAAAACGUUGAUAAUCGUCAGGGAAUUGAAGCUAAGGACUUGAGUCUGGUCCCAAAUUUGGUGCUUCCCCAUAAGUUCAAAAUGCCAGAAUUCGAUAAGUACAAUGGGACUACUUGCCCAGAAGCCCAUAUCACCAUGUUCUGCAGACGAAUGACUGGUUAUGUAAACAAUGAUCAAUUAUUGAUCCAUUUUUUCAAGAUAGUUUGGUUGGGGCAGCAGCUAGGUGGUAUAAUCAAUUGAGUCACGCAAGGAUCGGUUCUUGGAGAGACUUAGCGCAAACCUUUAAGCAGCAAUAUAAUCAUGUGACUGACAUCACUCCUGAUAGAAUCACUUUGCAAAAUAUGGAAAAGAAGCCUAAUGAGAGCUUUAGGCAAUAUGCAUAGAGGUGGAGGGAGGUUUCCAUGCAAGUUCAACCACAGCUCUUGGAGAAAGAAACUAUCAUGCUGUUCAUCAACACUUUAAAGGCCUCAUUCAUUACCCACAUGAUUGGAAGUACCACCAAGAGUUUUGCCGAUAUAGUUAUGGCGGGAGAAAUGAUUGAGAAUGCCAUAAGAGGUGGCAAGAUAGAGGGGGAAGCUACUAAAAGAUCGGCCUCAAGAAGGAAUGAUAAUGAGGUGAAUAAUACGAGUAGCUAUAAUUCAAAAGUGGUUACGGUUAGUCAGCCUAGAGUAACUACGGUUGGGCAACAAGAUUCUUAAAAGCAGGGAUCUGGUUUGAGACAGAAUUCUGAAAAGGUCUCAUUUACGCUUAUCCCAGUGACAUAUCGGGAGCUUUAUCAAAGUUUAUUCAAUGCGCAUGCAAUAGCCCCUUUUCAUUUGAAACCGUUACAACCCCCAUACCCUAAAUGGUAUGAUGCAAACGCCAAAUGUACGUACCAUGCGGGGAUAUCGAGGCAUUCAAUUGAAAAUUACACUGGUUUUAAGAAGGAAAUGGAAAGACUAAUCAAGAUAGGGGUCGUAAAAUUUGACGACACCCCUAGUACGAGAACCCGUUGCCAAAUCAUGGUGAUCAAGGGGUAAAUGCAGUUGGGGAUACGGGUUUGAGAAGGAUUAAAGAGGGCGUGUCAGAGGUGAGAACGCCGAUGAAAAUGAUUUGGGAAGAAAUGGUGAAAAGAGAGAUGAUAAUCUUUAAAGAGAGGAAUAAAGGAGUAAGGGACUACUGGAAGUUCCAUGUUGAAAAGGGCCACGAGAUCUAGGAAUGUGACGAGUUUAAGGCCUUAGUAUAAAGCCUUAUGGACAACAAAGAGUUAGAACUUUAUGAAGCUGGCUCAAAUGAGGGACAUAUAUACACAUUAGAAGGUGCACCGAAGAAUCAAAACCUACCGAAGAUUAUUAUUUCUUUACCAGGAAGUAAUGAAGUUGAAACACCAAUGGUACCGAAAGUUAUCAUUCAUAAACCUGUUUCCUUUCCUUAUAAGGAUAACAAGAGGGUACCCUGGAAUUAUAACUGCCAUGUGUCAAUGCUGGAGAAGGAGGAUAUAGCUAGUGCUUCUAAGGAAGCUCAAGGUGAGGGUUCUUAUACAUGUAAUGGGAAGCGCUACGAUGCAGAAGGCGUCAAAGUUGAGCCUGUAAAAGCAAAAGCUUUAGUCAAAGGAAAAGGGACUGAGACACUAGUUAAUGAGCCAGUGAAGGAAGAAGAAGCCAGAGAAUUUUUAAAAUUCUUAAAACACAGUGAGUACAGUGUGGUUGAACAAUUGCGCAAAUAACCAGCUUGUAUAUCAGUGUUGGCUUUGCUUCUAAGUUCAGAGGCACAUCGGGAAGCAUUAAUGAAGGUGCUCAAUGAGACUUAUGUUACUAAUGAUAUAUCCGUCAACAAGUUGGAUCGAUUGGUUAGUAACAUAAGUGCUGAUAAUUUCAUCUAUUUUAAUGAUGAUGAAAUCCCACCUGGUGGCAUGGGAUCAGCUAAAGCUUUACACAUCACCACUCGUUGUAAGGGGUAUACAUUUCCAAGUGUGCUUAUUGAUAAUGGAUCAGCUUUAAAUGUCUUGCCAUUAUCGAAAUUGAACAGAUUUCCCGUAGAUAGUUCUCACUUGAAAACAUUCCAUAAUGUAGUGAGAGCAUUUGAUGGCACGGAAAGGAAGGUCAUGGGAAGAAUCGACAUUCCUUUGAUGAUUGGAGCAAACACAUAUGAGGUGGACUUUUUAGUGAUGGACAUCAAGCCCUCUUACCCUCAUCUUUGCACCAAAAAUUGAAGUUAGUAGCUAAUGGAUGGUUGGUCACUAUAAAUAUGGAAGAGGACAGCAUAGCGACAGUUACCAGUAGUGUACCUUAUGUAGAAGCAAACGAGGAGGCAAUUGAAUUCUCUUUCCCUUCAUUAGAAUUCGUCAACGCAACAUUCAUUUCAGAGGGGAAUGAGGUGCCGGUGCCCAAGAUAUCCAUAACUACAAUGAUGGGUUUGCAAAUGACAAUGGGAAGAGGAGCCUUGCCAGGAAAAGGAUUGGGAAGAUAUCUUCAAGGAGGGAUUCAAAUUCCAGAGUUAAGGGAGAAGAGAGACCGUUUUGGUUUGGGUUUUAUGCCAGAUCAAAAGCAGCGAAGGAGGGAAAUGGAGAAGCGUCAAGAAAGGAGAAGGGCGGUUUAAAUGGAAAAGAAAUAGGGUGGGAAUCGAUGACGUUCCCCCAUAUAUCCCAAACCGUUGUAUCGGGAGGGAUAAUUCACCCUAAAGGAGGGUUGCUUGAAGAAGAAAGUUAUCAUAUCAAUGCUGUGCAUAAUGAAGAAUUUGGACAAGAAAACCUUGAGGUCAUUUGCCUUAACGAACCGGGAAGCUCUUUGAAUAAUUGGGUUGCAGAGGAACUUCCUGUAGUUUUUAAAUAUUCUUCAGAGUAAUUUCCAGAACACUCUUAUUACUCUAAAGCCUAGGAGUAGUAAGAUUUCCUUUGUAAAAUAGGCUCAUGUUCAGAUAUUUACAUUUCAAUAAAACGUAACUUCUGUUAUCAAUUCAAGUGAAUAUUCUUCUAUACCGUUCAAUAUUCUUUGGACCUUUACAUUCUUUCAUUUCAUUCAUAACAUAAAAAAAAAGUCCCAAAAAUUCAUUUAUUCUUUGUACAUUCUUUCAUACCCCGCAGGUCCCUAGAUAUCAAUGACAUGAGCACUGAUACUACAAAUCCUAGAUUCUCUUUUGAGCAAGACAUGUGUUUAGAAGAACUUCAGGAUUUUGAAGAUGAUAAGGAUUGUGAUAUGUUCCCAGAUCUAUUGAGAAUGGUGAAAUAAGAGGAGAAACAAAUCCUACCCUGUGAGAAAGUGGAAAUAGAGAAUGUAGCCUUGGAGAAAGGGAAGGAGGUGAAAAUUGGCACACAUAUUGCUAAGGAAACGAGACAAGGCCUUGUUGAGUUACUACAGGAAUUCAAAGAUAUCUUUGAAUUUUCAUAUGAGGAUAUGCCGGGUUUGGAUACUGAUAUCGUGGUACAUCGUCUCCCCAUAAGACAAGAUUGCAAGCCAGUCCAACAAAAAUUGCGAAGGAUGAGGCCUGAUAUUGUGCUGAAAAUAAAACAUGAAGUCAAAAAGCAGUUUGAUGCUGGAUUCCUACAAGAGGUUAAGUAUUCAGAAUGGGUGGCCAACAUUGUGCCUGUCCCUAAGAAGGAUGGGAAGGUACAGAUGUGUGUUGAUUAUAGAGAUCUGAAUAAAGCUAGCUCGAAGGACAACUUUCCCUUACCGCACAUCAACACUUUGGUGGACAAUACAGCGGGAUAUUCGUUAUUCUUCUUUAUGGAUGGUUUCUCAGGGUACAAUCAGAUAAAGAUGCAUCCUAAGGACAUGGAUAAAACCACAUUUAUAACAUUAUGGGGCACCUUUUGUUACAAGGUAAUGCCCUUCGGGCUAAAGAAUGCAGGGGCAACAUAUCAAAGGGCUAUGGUGACCUUAUUUCACAAUAUGAUGCAUAAGGAGAUUGAGGUGUAUGUUGAUGACAUGAUUGCUAAAUCUCGAACAGAGAUGGAGCAUAUUAAAGUCUUGAGGAAAUUGUUCCUGAGAUUAAGCAAAUUUUAGUUGAAGCUUAAUCCGGCAAAAUGCAUCUUCAGAGCUAGGUCGGGAAAGUUAUUGGGCUUUGUGGUCAGUGAAAAGGGAAUAGAAGUUGACUCAGAGAAGGUUAAAGCCAUACGAGAAUUGCCUCCACCACGUACUCAGAAGGAAGUUCGGGGUUUUCUUGGAAGAUUGAAUUAUAUUGCUCGGUUUAUUUUGCAAUUAACCGAGAAAUAUGAUCCUAUAUUUCGCCUCCUUAGAAAACACAACCAAUGUAUUUGGGAUGAAGAAUGCCAGAAUACUUUUGAUAAGGUUAAGCAAUACUUGUUAAAUGCUCCAGUGUUAUCUCCGCCUAGUCCAGUGUUAUCAGUGUUUAGUAAUUCAAUGGGAUGUGUGCUUGGCCAACAUGACGAGUCGGGAAGAAAAGAGAAGGCGAUAUACUACCUCAGUAAGAAAUUCACAGAGUGUGAGAUGAGAUAUUCGCCAAUUGAGAAAUUGUGUUGUGCUUUAAUCUGGACGACUCGAAGGUUGAGGCAAUAUAUGUUAUAUCAUACGACUUGGCUAAUUUCAAAACUUGAUCCAUUAAAAUACAUGAUGCAGUCAACAGCACUAAAUGGAAGAAUGGCAAGGUGGCAAAUAUUGCUUUCAGAAUUUGACAUAGUCUAUGUGAGUCAAAAGGCUAUAAAAGGAAGCGUGAUAGCAGAAUUUCUGGCUAGCAGAGCUUUAGAAGAUUAUAAGCCGUUGAGCGUUGAUUUCUCUAACGAAGAGUUGAUGUAUGUGGUAGUCGUUGAAGAAUAUCCUUGGAAACUGAACUUUGACGGUGCAUCUAACGCGGUAGGAAAUGGGAUUGGGGCAGUCUUGGUAUCCCCAAAUGGUGAUAAUUAUCCAUUUACAUGUAAGUUGGAUUUAGACUGUACAAACAACAUGGCUGAAUAUAAAGCAUACAUUAUGGGGAUUCGAGCAGCUAAAGAGUGGAAAAUCAGAACUUUGGAAGUAUAUGGAGACUCUGCGUUAGUAAUAUACUAGCUUAGGGGUGAAUGGGAGACAAGAGACCCCAAAUUGAUUAAUUAUCGAAAGGUAGUUUUGGAGUUACUUGAGGAGUUUGAUAAAAUUACCUUCAAUUAUCUCCCAUGAGACGAAAAUCAGAUGGCAGAUGCCUUAGCAACACUGGUUUCCAUGAUUAAAGCUAAUAAAGAAGAGGAUGUUAGACCAAUUCAGAUGAGUAUUUCCGAGGUUCCAGUUCAUUGCUGUAACAUUGAAGAGAAGGAAAAGAAUGACCAUCAUUGGUAUCAAGAUAUAUUAUGAUAUGUGAGAAAUCGUGAAAAUCCUGAGCAGGCAACUGAGAAUGACAAAAGAACUUUGAGAAGGUUAGCCUGCGAAUAUGUCCUAGAUGGGGAUAUCCUUUAUAAAAGAAGGAAAAAUUAGGUACUUUUGAGAUGCGUUGACGCUAUAGAAGCUAAAAAAAUCCUAGAAGAAGUACAUGAAGGAAUUUGUGGUACACAUGCUAAUGGCUUUACGAUGGCAAGACAAAUCAUGAGGUUGGGAUACUAUUGGUCUACUAUGGAAGGAGAUUGUAUCAGUUAUACCAAGAAAUGUCAUAAAUGCCAGAUAUAUAGAGAUAAGAUUCAUGUACCACCUUCACCCUUACAUGUUAUGACUUCUCUAUGGCCCUUUUUCAUGUGGGGCAUGGAUGUCAUUAGGCCAAUAUCACCAAAAGCUUCGAAUAGGCAUCGUUUCAUUUUCGUGGUCAUUGAUUACUUCACAAAAUGGGUAGAGGCAGCUUCUUACGCUAGUGUCACUAAGUCAGCAGCAGGGCGAUUCUUGAAAAAAUGAGAUCAUUUGUCGGUAUGGAAUGCCUGAGAGGAUCAUAUUAGAUAAUUCAUUGAAUUUGAACAACAGCACGAUUGCAGAAUUCUGCAGCCAAUUCAAGAUUAAACAUCAUAAUUCAUCUCCAUAUCACCCAAAGAUGAAUGGGGCAGUGGAAGCUGCUAACGAAAACAUUAAGAAAAUAGUGGGGAAAAUGACUGAAACCUACAGAGAUUGGCAUGAGAAAUUACCAUUUGUAUUCUUAGCUUACCGAACGUCCAUCAGAACCUCUACUGGGGCAACUCCUUUCUCGUUGGUUUAUGGGAUGGAGGCAGUGUUACCCAUUAAAGUUGAAAUACCUUCUCUUCGAAUUUUAUCGGAGAUAAAGCUAGAUGAAGUAGAAUGGAUCCAAUCGCGGUAUGACCAAUUAAACUUGAUUGAAGAAAAGAGGCUAAGGGCUAUUCGUCAUGGUCAGAUGUAUCAGAAGCGAAUGAUGCGAGCUUAUGAUAAGAAGGUUCGUCCAAGAGAAUUUCACAAAGGAGACCUGGUGCUGAAAAAGAUCCUUCCCAUACAGAAGGACUUUAGAGCAAAAUGGAUGCCAAAUUGGGAAGGGUCGUAUGUUGUAAAAAAGGCUUUCUCUGGGGUGCUCUGAUUUUAACAGAAAUGGAUGGGAAAAGUUUACCCAAUCCAGUGAAUUCAGACUCAGUCAAGAAGUACUUUGUCUAAAGAGUAUGGAAGACAAUGUGAAAACCCACAAAGGGUGCUUUGAGACUUCUAAAAAAAAAGAAAGGAGAAGCCAAUGUGAAAACCCGCAAAGGGCGCUUUAAGACUAAAGGGGUUUGAGUUGAAAACCUGAAAGGGCUGCUCAAAUUUUGAGAAGCAUACAGUGACCUUGCUAUACCAGACUUGAUGAGAAGUGGAGUGUGUUACAUACUGGGGCAUCAACGAAGUACUUUGGAUCUUCUAAACACAUGUUAAACUCAAAAUAGUCUUCAUAGAAUUUGUACAUAGAAGCUCAAGCUGUGAUAUGUUGGACAUCGAAUUUUUGUUCUGUUUAUUAUCUUUGUAUUCCUUUUCUUCUCAAAGAUGUUUUCAGAUUAAUUUCCUAUUGUAUUUUGAUGAUUUAUCUAACUAUUCUCAAGAUUAAAUCAUUUGUCUUCCAUUACUCAUAAAGAGUGUUGUAUUAAAAUAAUAAUUGACGAACUAAAUAUUUUUACAAACGAAGUUUUGCAUAUUACUCUGGAAAUCUCUAGAGAAUACAAGAAACUAAAACAGAACAAUUACUUGAAGAAUUCCCAUGAGUAAAUGUCGAAGGUACUCGAGGAAAUUUCUUUCCAAAGAUGUUUGGACAAUUCAAAUAAUUCAAUCUUAGGAGAGGAUUGUUUCUAGCAGAAUGGUACAAUAGGACCAAUCUAAUUCAAAACAAAGGAGCAGAGUUUGAUUGAUAUUCUGAGGUGGAAUUUUGAUGGAUAAAUGAGUAAGGACGUCUGAAAUAGGAAUCAUUUUCAUAACAUUUUGCAUAAUUAGGAGCAUUUGAUUUAUUUUGAGCAUGGCAUCUUAAUCAUAGGCAUGAGUACAUAUGCAUUCUACAGGUUAUGUCCUUUAAGGGACAAUGUAGAUCAAAAAUAGCAGAUGUGGCGUCUCUGUAUUGUCAGAGAGUAGAUCGAAGAUAGCAGAUUUGACAUCUCUGUAUUGUCAGAGAGUAGAUUAAAGAUAGCAGAUUUGGCAUCUCUGUAUUAUCAAAGAGCAGAUCGAAGAUAGCAGAUUUGGCAUCUCUGUAUUGUCAGAGAGCAGAUCGAAGAUAGCAGAUUUGGCAUCUCUGUAUUGUCAGAGAGCAGAUCGAGGGCAUCUCUGUAUUGUCAGAGAGCAGAUCGAAGAUAGCAGAUUUGGCGUCUCUGUAUUGUCAGAGAGCAGAUCGAAGAUAGAAGAUUUGACGUCUCUGUAUUGUCAGAGAGCAGAUCAGAGAUAGCAGAUUUAGCGUCUCUGUGUUGAUAGGAAGUAGAGUGAAGAUAGCAGAUUUGACAUUCUUGAGUUACGGUGAAACAAGUAUGAAGCUAUCAGAAUACCUUUGAGGAAGAGGAGGAUUAAGAUUUCGGGACAUUGGCCAGGCCGAGCAAAUUUGGUCCUUUUGUAAUCUUUGCUCUAUUCCUGUUACACAGUAACAAGCAAAGAGGGGCAGCUGUAAUAGCCCAAAUUUACCCGGGCCUGUGAAAUAAAUAAAUAAAUAAAAACAAAAAAAACAAAAAUUUAUUAAUUAAUAGAGUCCAUUUACAAGUCCAUUAACAAAACCCAAAUACCUAAAACCCAACAACCCAACUAAUGACCCAAGACCCAAUUAGCCUACACUACCUAAUACCCGGUUACACCCAAAGCCCAAGUACCUAAAUACUGCCCAAAGUUUAUACAUGGGGCCCAAAUGGCCCAAUAAGUUAACUGAAGGCAGAAGGCCUAGGGUUUCAGAAACCCUAGGCACCGUAAACACCCUAGCUGUCACGUCGUUUCAUCUCGUGUCGUUCCAGUCUCCAUCGACGCCGUAACUCUAGCCUUGUUUUACUUCGUAAUUGGCGUGCCAAUCCCGCCACCGACAGAUUUGUGUCAUCAGCACAUGAAUCAAUGCCAGCACGUUCAUCGCCAGAUUUCUCAUCGUCGCCUGCAAAAGAGGAAAGAAAAGCACAGCAAACAUGGCAAGAAUCGAGCAUAGAAUAUACAAACUUGUAAAUAAAGGCUAUAAAAAGCCAAAUGAUUUCACUGUAACGAAGGGGGGUUUUUUUUAGAGACAAACUUAGAGACAAAAAGUGACGAACAGAUAUACGCAUAUACAGCAAAGAAAGAAAUAAAAGUAUUUUAAAAAAGGUGAUUUAGUUGUCUAUUCAUUUCUGUUACUUUUUUUUUCUAUGCUUAAGAAUCAUUUCUUUAAAAAAGGGCUGUUAAUAUUUAAAAGGAAAGGGUUAUCUGAGUUUCACCUGGAAAGAUGAAGGUUUUUAACCUUCCGGCCACCGUGUACGGUGGCACGUGUGGGGCAUGGACAUGUGUUGCCCAGUGACCGGAGGCCGGAGGCCGGAGUCUGGAUGGCCUUUUCCUUUCCUCUUUCAAAGGAUUUUAAAGUUUUUUUUUGAACAGUUUCUAAAAUGAAUUUUGGGCCAAAAAACUAACUUAAAUAGCACAAUGAAAACGGUGUCGUUUUACUUAAUCUGAUAAGUACCAAAACGACACCGUUUAAGCCCAGGUUCCGCGUGUUGACCCGAAACCCGGAUGAGAUCCUCGUGUUUUUAUUAAAAGGGAAAAUUAUUCAAUUGAUCCUUCCACAUUUUUAAUCUUUACAAUUUCAUUUUGUUUUUAUCUACGAUUAAUUCAAUCUAGUCCUAAUGGCUAUUAAAGCCUAUUCUGGGAACGACGUCGUUUUAUGGGAUUAGGGCAAAUUGCCCAGUGAGUCCCUCGUAGUUUUGAAUGCGUUCCAAUUAGGCUUAAAUUUUUUGUUAUUUUAAAAUUAGCCAUAGAACCCUAGUUUUAUUUAAUUUUAAUCCUUUUAAAUAUUUUUGCAUAAUUUAUUUAUCAAAUACCUUAUAUAUUAUUUAUUUUUAUAAAUAUUAGUUAUAUAAAAUAGUAUAUAUUAUUUUUUAUUCAUAUAUUAUUUUUAUUAUUAUACAUUUUAUUUAUAAAUUUUAUUAUACAUUAUAUAUUUUACUAUAUAUACUAUUCCUUGCACUUUUUAUUUUUAUUUCAUUAUAAAUUAUGUAUUAUUUUAUUAUUCAUUAAUUUUGUAAAAUUUUAAUUUUUUUAAAUUAUUAUUAAAUAUAGUAUAAAUAUUAUCCUUAUUUAUAUGAUAGUUAUCAUAUUAUUAUAUUUCAUUAUAUUUUAUUUAUAUAUUUUAUUACAUAUCAUAUAUUAUUAUAUAUUAUUCCCUAUAUUAUCUUCCUUUUAUUAUAUAUCAUUUCAUUAUUUAUUAUUUAUUAGUAUAAAAAAUUUAAAUUUGUAAUUUAUUAUAAACUAAUACAUAUAUUGUUAUUAUAUAUAUUUAAUGUCUAUAUCUAAAAUUUACUAAAAAAUUUUGUUCUAAUUUAACAUCCCUUUUUAUAAAUAUAUCAAGCUACUAUAUUAAAUAAUAUAUAUUUUUUAAAAAAAAUUUAUUACUUAUAUAUUGCUUAAUAUUUUUUUUAUUGUUUUCAUUUUGUUUUAUUUCAUCCUUCUUUUAUUAGGUAUUGUUUUAACACGCUAAUUUCAUCUUAUAAAUUAUUCGUUAUUUAUCAUGUUAUUUAUUUAUUGUUAUGUAUUCGCAUGCAAAUUGAUCAUUUUAUGUUAUUAUUUUAAGAAUAUAUUCGCAUGAAAUAUUAUUAUAUAUGUUUAAUAUUCAUUAUUCUUGCUGCUUUGUACUUUUGUAUGAAAUGAUAAUAUGUAUAUUCAUGUUAUUUGUGAUUAUGUAUGUAUGGAAUGUUAAAGUAUAUUGUGUGAUUUAUGUCAUAUUUACCAUUUUCAACAUUAUAUUUGCAUGAAAUGUUAAAUACGUAGUUUAAUUAAUCCAAUAUUGAUCUUUUGUAAUAGGUUAAAUGCAUCAUCAUUUUUUAAUUUUUAUAUUUCAUUUAAUCUAAAGGAAUCUUAAAAAACAAGGCAAUGUCUUUUGUAUUUAGGAAUUCGAGAAAUAGUGCCCUAACAUGCUGGAUUGCGAUUUCUCGUUUGUCUAAAUAUCUAAAGUAUCCUUUUAAUAGAUUUUACAAAUUACGAGAUGAUUUUUUAGUUACGAAAGUUUAUGAAUAUCGUGUCCAAUCACGCUAGAUGUGAUGUUCCCAUGUUUUUGGGACGAAAGAAUUUUGAUUUUCAACUCAAAUUAUUACGGUUUUAAAAGAGAUCUUAUUGCUAAAUUCUUUCAAGCUUUUGAUAUUAAGAAAAAAAUUAUUCAAUUUGGUACCAAUUUUGGGCGUUACAAGGGUGCUAAUUCUUCCUCGUACGUAACCGACUCCCGAACCUAUUUUCUCGUAAUUUCGUAGACCAAAAUGUUUUAUAAAGUGAUCCAAUCACACUUUAAAAGGUUGGUGGCGACUCCCGUUUUCAAAAUACCCUCCCCAUUUAAAACGAGGUUUCGACAGUUAUCUUUGCGCAUUUUUUAAUAAAUAGAUAUCAAUUAUAGUGAUUGAGUAGUGGUGGAGCUGUCCAUGAUGAUCUAUGUUCAAAUCUCUUCCUUUUUGUUAAUUUCUAUUUGGUGUAAAUUUGUUUAAAAUCCUUAGCAUAAAUCAUCCCAUGUUUUAUUUAUUUUCUUGCUAAAUUAAUUACUAGGAAGUGAGUGGUAGAGUGGUUAAGUUUUUAAUUAAUGUCUUAUGGGUCUUAGGUUCAAGUCUCUUUAUUAACAAACCUUUUAAUUAAUUUUUGUAAUUUUUUCCAUGUGCAAAACACCCCAUUGCCGUCCAACUUUCUUGCCAUAGUGGGGAAAAGAUUUUUUCCUUUUCUUUUUUUUGGUCAACAUACCUUAAUUGUGGAGACUGUGAUUCCCUUUUCACUCCAUUGUUCCCUUUACUUGCCAAUUCCUCCAUUUUGUCCAUAUGAAUGGUUGAUUGAACCUAGACAAGGUUAACCACACUCUUUCCAUCCAUUCUAUCACUCUCCCCCUCUCAUUAUAGCACCACCCUUUACUCAUAUUCAUUUCCACUCUUUUUUUCUUUUGUUUAGCUCUCAAUCUUCCUUUUUUGCUUUCUUUUUCUUUCUCAUCCACCAUUUCUUGGCCUUUAACCACUAUUACCUUACUGCCGAACCUUCUUUGCACCGCCACUUUUCUCCUUUUUUCUUUUCAAGCGUUGCCCCUAGUGCCACCCUCCACUACCGUGGCAACCACCAUGCAACUUCUCUUUUUAUUAUUAUUUUAUUUUCUCGUCCCAUUUCUCCUCAUUUUUUUUUGAAUCAAAAAACUGGAUCUUCAUUAAAAUAAAACAAGCCCAAAGACUAACAAAACCAAGUUUAAAAAACAAAACAAAGCAAACGGCUUAAAGGCCCCAAACCAAAACAAACAGAAACCACAACACACGGCCUAAAGGCUAGACCAAAGUAAAAACAAUAAAAGAAAAGAAAAUAGAUCUAGCAUAUUCAAGAUGGGGAGCUUUAGAGACUUCCACCAGCUGUAAACCAAAUUUCUCCUCAUUUAAGAAGUGAAAGAACUCAUUCUUUUCUUUUUCCUCCUCUGUCGUAUCACUACCGCCUCCGUAGUCAGACCUCCAUCGCCGCUUCGCGCCUCCACCAACUUUGGUGUUUAUUUCUCUUUUCUUUACCGUUUCCAGCUUCUAUCAUCCUUAUAGUAAACGAAAAUUCUACAAUCCUAUUUCAAUAAGUUUAAAUAUUAUGUUUUAAAAUAUGAAACUUAGUGACUCACUUUUUCAAGUGAUCAUUUUCUAUAGAUUCUUAUCCUUCUCAAGAGCAUGGUGAUCCUUCAACCUUCUUGAUUUAAUCUAAAUAGAGUAAGUAUGGUAGUGGAAUGAAAUAUACUAUUCCUUCCCUAUUUUUUCUUGCAGGUCGUAUGUGUUUAAGGGGUUUUAUGUUUUUUCCUUUAAGUAUUAACGCAUCAAAUUCUACUUUUGAUGAAGGGUCGAUCGAUACUAUUCUGGAAAACCCUUAACAUUGGGAACGAGAUCAAUCUUCGAUUGAUUAUUAUUAGAGUAACCUAUCGAUUAGAUCCGAGUGUGGAUGUUUCUUUAAAGUGAUGAUUUGCAUUGGAUCUACUAUCAGGUGUGGGUUUUAACACUAAAUAAAAUUGAGACAUGUUUUAUAUUGAUAAAAACAUUGUUAUUUAAAUAAUGUUAAUUGAUGGGGAUAUUAUAUGUAUUCAUAAAGAGAGAUAAAUCAUCAUUAUGGAUUUUAUCAAGUAAGUGUUUCUCCAAACCGUAUACGUUGUAGAAAGCAUUUCUGUGAUAAUGUGAAAAAUAUGUACAUCUCAUUCUUAAGUUAUGUGAUUAUAUAUAUGGCAUAUGUGAUAUCCAUAUGAAAAUAAAAUGUGAAAUUUUGGUACCAUGAGUACAUAUGUGAUUUGCAUGUUAAACAUGCCUAUAUGAUUUCGAGUGAUUUUGGUCAUCUUACAUGCAUGGGGUGGGAUAUGUGAAAGGUGGAAGUAUAUGGCAAUUUAUUUGCAUUAAUGAGACAUUGUUUAUGAUUUGAUUAUAUCGCAGUUUAUUUAUGACUCUGGUGGCUGGUCCACGAUUUUGAUUAUGUGGCAAUUUAUCUGUGUUACUGUGACACUGUUCACAAUUUGGUGUGUUAGAUGGACGAGUUCCGGAAAAACUCAAUUUUGGUGCGUAGUGGAUAUGGGUAGGACUGUUUUCAUAAAAUCUGCAUCAUUUUAUGAAAUGUGCAUUGAUAUGAUCAUGUAUAGUAUAAGUGUGAAAUAUUGAGUUACAUGAAACUGAUAUGAUUAUUAUGAUUGUAUAAUGUAUAUGUUUAUAUGUAUGUGAUUGUGUUUAUGUUAAUCUCAUUUUGAGCUUUAUAGCUCACCCCUCUUUAGUUUUCUGAUUUUACAGAUAACCCCAUGGCUAGGAUUCGACGACGACAUUUGGAGGAGUUUCUCGGAAUUCUUUUUAAGUUAAAGUAAUUAAAAUUUUAUUUUGAUAUUUUGGAUUGUAAUAAGUUUGAGUAUGGAUUGUGGCAUGAGACUUUAUUUUGGGGAUUUUUCAUUUUGAUUUGCAUAAAUUUCUUGCAUGAGAUUAAGUUUUAAAAACUGCAUAAAUUAGUAUUUGAUAAGAUUUUGCUUGAAAGUUAGUUUUUAAAUAGAAUCUGUCAAUAACACAUUUUUCUGCUGCAUUUCUGAAAAAUGAGUUUUUAAUAAAAUUAGUCUUAGUUUUCAAAAUUAUUAAUCUUUACAAAUGAGUUUUCUAAAGACAUUUGAUUUAUGAAUUUAAUGUGUUUUUAUUUUCGAAAUAAGGACAAAUAACCAAGUUCUCUAAAUUUUGAACAAAAAAGACAUGAUUUUGAAGUAUGAUUGAAAAUCCGAAAUAGUUUUGAAUAAAUGAUUGAAUAUUUACAAUGAUGAUAUUCUUUAUUUCGAUUCUUGAAAUUUGUAAGGUUUUUAUGAAAUUAAAAUAAACACUUUAUUUCAUUUGUUUUGAUUUGAUAAGCCAAUAUUUUAAAAUAUAUUUUUCAAAAAUUCCGAAAGAUUAUUUUGGCCAUUUUCAUGGAAUGAUGGAUUUGAAAUGUGAUUGAAAAUAAAUUUUAACAUUCGAUUUUACUAGUUUUGAACGAACUGCUUAAAAAGUAUGUUUGAAAUUACAAAAGUUUUUCUGGGUCAUUCCGGUGGCCAAUAUAGCUUUCCAAAUUCAGCCAAAUGAAUGGGUCGGGUUUAGGGUGUUACAAAACUGACAACACCUUCAGUGUUUAAAAGAACCCAAUUCCCUAUUGUUGAUUUCCCGAAAGUAUAUUCAUGGAAGCAGUCUGGCUCAUAUCUAAAGGCAGAAAAUUAUUGUUUAGCCUAACUAUUCCAAAUUUUGACUAUCUCGCUUGAAAUCCAAGUUAUGCCUCAAAAAAUAAAGAGAUUAUGAUUCUUCCAGAGGCGUCAAGUGAGUAAUCGAAAUAGGCAAGCCUAAUUUGCUCCUCCCCCAUGCAACUUCGAAUGGUCCUAUAAAGUAGAAGCUAUCCAUUCAUGUAAACUAUCCAAUAAAAAAAAACUUUGUUUGUUGAUUAAUUGGAAUAACCUGUAACCAGACUUGCUUUGCUGAUGAACAGUCUCUAAGAACAUGUAGGACAAUCUUCUGAGCCAUGACUAUAAAUAGGACAUGAAGAGUUAAACCCAAUAUGUAACACCCCUAACCCAUAUCCGUCAUUGAAAUAGGGUUUUAGAGAAUUACUAGAACAUUCAGAAAUAUUUACAAAUAACUUAUGCAAAUUACUAUUCAUUUACUGAGAUCAUUCAUGAUGUCCAUUGAUUAGGCCCUCAAGGCCCAAUAUGAGCAUUAGAAUUGAGUCGGGACUUAAUCGAAAACUUUAAGAAUUGUUCGCGACCUUUUAAAAAUUUUCCAAGGUGCAGGGCUCGUACGCCCGUAUGGUCAAAGGGACACGCCCGUGCUGGAGGCUGUGUUCGACCCCGUGUAACUCUCUGACUUGCACACACGGCCAUGCCACACACCCGUGUGCUAGGCCGUAUGUUAAUUAAUUCAAUUUGAAAUUAGGUGCAGGUUUUACACGGCCAAGAUACACGCUUGUGUUCUAGGCUGUGUGGCACACAUGGCUGCGACACACGCCCGUGUCUCUACCCGUGUGCUCGAUUCUGAGCAUUCUGUUUCUUAAAAUUUAGGUGCAGCAGACACACGGCCUAACCACAUGCCCAUGCUACUAGGCCGUGUGUCACACACAGUCUAGAUACACACCCGUGUGGACAAAAUGAAGCCAUUUCUAGCUUCAUUUCUCACCUAAAAUUUUACCCAUGACCUGCACUUGAAACACACAUCCAAUACCAACCAAUCCAAGCAUUCAACUUAAGCAAAUUUCAUCAUUCACAAGGCAUAUCACUACAAGCAUACAUGAUCACAACCUUACCUUAGUUUAACUUAGGCAUUCACAACAUUGAUCACAUAUUAUUAACAUUACACAUGUGUAUAUAUAUAUCAUAAUAAUCUACUUAGUCAUACCAAAAUGAACCAUCACUAGUCAUUCCAAUGGCUAGGUGACAAAAUAACAUUUCAAGCCACUAUUGGUCAAGUUGUCCUAUACAUGCCAUUAUACCAACAUGAUUUUACUAAGUAUACCCAAAAUGACUAGUUGAUAGUGUGACAAUGCUCCAGUGAUCUCUAACCCUCGUGAGUUUCUGAGCACUAUAAAACAAGGGAAAAAUAAAACAGAGUAAGCAUUACAUGCUUAGUAAGUUUGUAUAACAGAAACUAAACUUACCAAUCUUGUUUAUUAAAUCUAAGCAUACAAUAACACGUUUUCCAUCCAUUUGGCUAAAUUGCCUAAACACAUGCAUCCGAUCAAACAUGUUAGUCACAAAGUUUACAUAUACACCAAGUAAGAAUAGAUGAGCUCAUCAUGUAAUACAGUUUCAAGACAUUAUCAUUUCAUCUCAUAAUUCUCAUGUCAUGUUAAGGGUUCUAUGUCCGUUGAAUCAUUGAAAUUCCGAUGGAUGCUUACACUCAAGGUGUACGAUUCCAUAAUCCGUCAAUUCUUAUUCGAUGGUACCCAUUAGGGUAAUUAAUCAAGGAACACACUCUCAAGCCACAUAUCGUAUAAUAGGAUUACUAGUCCAGGCUAAAUCCUUUAUAUAACGUAUGCUCAACGAGUUCAAUUAGGAUUACCAGUCCAGGCUAAACCCUAAUCAUAACGUAUACACGAGAGGUAUUAUAUCAAGAUUACCCGUCCGGGCUAAAUCUUUUCUACAACAAGGUUAAUGGGAUUACUUGUCUGAGCUAAAUCCCAUCUGCAACAAAUACAGGACCUUAUUCAUUUCGGGAAAGCGCAUAUAUUCAUCAGAAUUUAAUAUUCAAUCGAAACUUAACCUUUUUUCACAAUAUCAAGCAUGUAUUAAAUUUUCCAUUAUAGCAUUCAAGUAAUGUACAUCAAUAUAAAUCACAUUCCAUACCACACAACAUUCAAUUAAACAUAUUUACAUGCCCGAUGAAGUUACAUGAACUUACCUCGACACUUGUUCGCGUUAGAAAUCUGCUAAUCCGAAACCUUUUCUUUUCUUCGAUCUAACCUCAAAUUUUCUUCAAUCUAACCUCAAAUUAGUGUUGUCCGGAUCUAUAUAAAUAGCUUUAAUCAUCAAUUUCACAUAUUUCAUAUUUAUUUGGACCCAAUUUGCGUCUUAGAUAAAAUUAUAAUUUUACCCCUAACUUUUCCAUAAAUUUCAAUUUUGUCCCUAGGCUAGGAAAAUGAAACUUGUGCAAAUUACUCCCUAUUCCAAGCCUAACCAAAGCCCCAUUACAAAAUUUACAGCACCUGUACUCAUGAAAAUUUAGAAUUUUUCAUCAAAUUUUACAACUUUACAUUUUAGCCCCUAAAUCAUGUUUUCAUCAAAAAUCACUUUGUAAAAGUUGUUUAUCUAUCAAUAAUCUUUCAUUUUCUACCAUAAAUUUCUAAUUUCCAGCAUAUACAUCCAUGACCUAUUUUUCAUACCUUGAUAAUUUUUCAAAUUAAUCCCUCAAAUAGAGAGAUUAAGCUAUUCCGAUUUCAAAAAUAUCAAAAUUACUAAAAGGGGACAAGGAAACUUACCUAAUUAGGCCUUGAAAGUUUCUUUUCUCUCACCUAGGGUUUCCAUGUGAUUUUAGGUUCAAGAUGAUGAAAAUAAUAUGAUAUAUUUUCUUUUCAUCUUUAAUUAAUUAAGUAUUUUGCUAUUUCUAAUUUAGUCAUUGCCCUUUUUCUAUAUUUCUAGGGAUGAGUCACCAAGAAAAAUCUACAUACUUUUCUUAAUGGUCUAAUUACCAUAUAAUGACCUCUAGUUUUUAUUUCCAUAGCUAUUUGAUCCUUAUAGCUACUAGAAUUCAACUUUCGCAUUUUAUGUAAUUUAGUCCUUCUCGUAAUUAAACACUUAAUCGAUAAAAUUUUCGUAUCAACAUUUUCACACAACAUGUCUAUUAUAAUACAAACCAUAUAAUGAAAUAAAAAUAAACAUUAUUUUCGGAUUGAAUUUGUGGUCUCGAAACCACUGCUUUGAUUUCACUAAAAAAUGGACUGUUACACAAUACCCCACUUAACUCUUGACACAUUAGUGAGGAGUCUUUGUUUUAAAAUAGUCCAGAUAAAAUAUCGAACUCUUUGGGGUCCCAAGAAAUUUUGCACAAUUUCCCAUUUCACAUAUCUAGAAUUCCAAGAACCUCCCUUCAACAUCCUGUACGCACUUUUAAUAGAGAAAGCUCCUAUAACAGUGUGACACUAAGAAAUGUUAUCAGGACCCUCAGAAGGAUGGGGGGAAUGACCACAACACACCUUAAAACAUUAUUCGAUAACCAAACCUGAAAGAGAUCAAGAUUCCACAUACAUUCCUCUGUGACCAUUUCAUUAAGGAAACAAUUGGAAACAAUAUUAGCAUAGGUAGAAAUUUGCUUAGUCAAAGGCCCUACACCUUGGGUCUAAGGUUCCUUCCAACAUCGAAUGUUAUUUUGGUUACCUACUGACCAGAUUAAGUUUUCUCGAAGUAAAUGCCAAACUUUUGAAAGUGGCCUCCAAAGAAACGAACACAUAUCCCGCGCAAUACAUUUCGACAAACUAUCCUUAUCCUGUAUUUCAAUCGGAGUACAUGGACCCAUAAGGCCUCAAUAUUAGACAUAAUAUUAUACCCAAGAUUUAAUAAAAACGAGGUGUUUGGGUCAUGUAAUUGUCUCAUCCCAUAUUUUGAUUAAUUAAAGUUGAAUAUUAGAAGCUUCAAUAGUUGUUUGUAACUCUUUUUUUUGUAAACAAUUGCGGGUGGUUUAUUAAUGAAAAGUUUUAGUUAUGUUUGUUAUUUGGAAAUUGAUGUUGUUAUAACUUUAUCUAUGCAUCUUUGGAUUUUACUGGGUUUUUUUCCUAAAUAAUUUAAAAAAAUUUAAAUACUGAAAUAAGUUAUCAGCUAGAUUAUAUACGAAAAUGCUAUGUUUUUUUAAGUCGCGCCUAUCUGACAGGUGCAACCACUUUUUUCUAUAUUAAAAUAUUUUUUUGGUUUUUUAAAAUUAUUAUUUUAUUAGUGGUGCAUUUCUCAUAGGUGCCACUACUUGUAUUUUUUCCCAGAUCAGUAUAUGACCCGUGUAGAGAUACGAAAAUGGUAUGGGGGUAGGUGGCACCUAUCUGGUAGGCGCGACUGGUGGAGCCUAACUUACAGGUGUGACUAGCGCUUAAUUUUUCCCUUAUAUAUACUCCCCCAAAAAUAAAAUGAGCAGAAGACACAAAAUUUAGCAGAACAGUAGUAAGAAGAUAGGGAGAAGAAAGAAAGAAAGGAAAACAAAAAGAAGGAUAAGGUUUUUUAGUUUAUUUCUUUUUAAAUAGAAUGUAGAGUUUUGUUAGUAAUUUUAUUAUUUGAAAGUUAUUUUGUUAGGUUAUUAAUUUUGUUAGCUUUUGAAUGAAAAUUUUUACAUUAAAAAUUUUAUUUAACUUUUUUGCUAUUUGAAACUGUUUUGAGAAUUUUGAAUUUUUUUAACAGAUCCAGUAUUGAAGAUGGAGAAUCAGUUUUUCGUAUGCAUUUAUUUUGAUGAAGAAAUUUUGACAACAACUGUGGGAUGUAUAUUUGAAUGUCGCAAACAAGUAGCAAUGAGAUUUAAUAGAAAUAUCUCGUUUGGUGAUAUGAAGGAAAAAAUUAGAGAAAAAAUUUAUAGACAUUGUUGGAGAAAGAUCUCGAAACUUUUCUACAAGUUUCCAGUUUCGACGGAUCCCAUAAAAUUCACCGAGAUGGAACUUGUAGACGACGAAGACAUGGAGAUAAUAGUUGUUCUUUAUUGUGGGACUUGGAGCAACCAAAAUGCACCGAUUAAGUUAUUUGCUAAGUUAGUUGGUGUGGAGCCAACUGAAGAUCCCACUCUAUUAGGUAAAGAAGAUAGAGCUUAAAAGUCGUGUAUGAUGGUUCCGAUAUCAUACGUUGAUAGUCAAUCAACUAUACACGAGAUCGGCAUUGAUCUUAAUGUUACACCUGAGACUGAUAUGGUUAGUGAUUAUGUAUACCAUAGUAGUGAUCCUUCUGAUCAUGAGGAUGAUAGUGAUAGUGAUCCCGACGUGGUCGAGGUCCUAGAUGAUAUUGAUGACGAAUGUGUGAAUGAGGAUGGAAAUGUUAAUGCAUAUUCAGUCGGGAACCAGAUUCGUCGUAUUGUGAUUCAUAAUAAUCCUUGGGCACACAUGUCUCUAAUAGAUCCCGAUGCGGUGCACGCGACCGAGUUUCUGAAGUACCCUGAAAUACUACUUGCUCACUAGAUGGCCGUAUAUUCUGGUCCUGAGGAGUUAUUCGUGGGCCAGAGAUGCGAAAGUAAGGAAGAGUACGUAUUUUCCAAUAAGCAGUAUAACAUGAAUAUAUCAAUGGACUACAAAGUUGUCGUGUCUAAACCAACAUUAUAUAUUGGAGAGCGUUAGAGGUCAGCGAAAGGCUACAAUUGGCAAAUACGAGCUGCAUUUAUCCAGAAGUCGCAGAUAUGGGAUAUAUGAAAAUUUGUUGGGCCUCACACAUGCAUUUCAACACGUAUGACAGAAGAUCAUCAAAAACUUGAUUCUAAAACUAUCUAUACGUGCAUCAUGCCAAUGGUGAAAGACAUCUGACCAUUAAAGUUCUGAUAUUGAUUGUCGAAAUGCAGGCACAAUUCCAGUAUCAAGUAUCAUACCAAAAGGCAAGGAUAGCUAAACAGAUGACAAUAGAGCAAUUGUAUGGAGAUUUUGAUGUAUCAUACAAUGAGUUAUACGGAUGGAUAGCUAUUAUGUAGGAGUACAUACCAGAGACUGUCAUUGAGUUGCAGACACGACCUUAUUAUGGCCCGGAUGACCAACUACAACCGGGAAAAAGAAUUUUUCAGCGGAUGUUCUAGACGUUUGAUCCAUACGUGCGUGCAUUUCCCCACUGCAAGCUAUUUGUGCAAGUAGAUGGGACAUGGCUAUACGAUAAAUAUACACAGAUCCUACUUCUAGUGGUUGUUCAAGACGGGAAUAAGAACGUGUUAUAGAUUGCAUUUACCAUCGUUGAUAAGGAGAACAUGGAGUCUUUGAAAUUCCUCCUUACAAACUUGCGGAGUUAUGUUAUUACUAAUGAUAAUAUUUGCAUCAUCUCCGAUAGAGGGACAUGAUUAAUUGCUGCCAUUAGGCAUUCUAGUGUACCAUGGAGAUCUGUUACUGCAUCCGGUACAUCACAGCUAACUUCUACCAAGAUUAUAAGAAUGCAGUCUGGCGGAGACAAGUUGUGAGAGUGGGUAAAGAAUAAUAUUAUCCUUUCAAUAUAUAACCUAAUGUUUUAGGGCGAGACUGUAGCUUAUAUUUUCUUACACAGAGCACGAGCUAAAGCCACACAUUUUCUGGUAAAGGAUGACUCAACUUGAGAGUGACAUGGAAGGUUAGACAAACACAUCUUUUCGAAAAUGGUUGAGUACCAUAGAGCCGUGGAAAUAGGCUCAAAGUUUUGAUGAGGGUUUUCGUUAUAGUCAAAUGACCACAAACCUGGUGGAGGGGAUCAACGCUGUGUUGUUGAAAACACAACAUCUUCUGAUUUCAUCUGUCUUAUCGGCUGCAUUCUACAAGUUAGCUACCUUGAUGCCAAGAAUGGGUCAGCAAGAAGUUAACCAGAUGGAGGGGGGACACGUGUUUGUCGAAGAUGUCAGGGUAAUGGUUGCAAGCCGACAGAUGGCGAGGUCAAUGAAUGUAAAAGUAUAUUCACAAAGUAAUAAAACAUUUCAAGUUAAAGAGACCAUCAGUCGUUGACCCGGUAUACCACCUAGGUCCUACGGAGUUGAUCUCCAAAAUAGACUGUGCUAAAGUCUCGCUCAAUGUAGAACAAUUUAUCGAUGAAGUGUACACCCUCGAGCACACGUUGCAUGUAUGGGAGAACAAGUUCCCCAUGCUUCCUGACCUAUCUACAUGGGAGGUUCCUCUGACGACCUUCGAGCUUGUUCCAGACAAAGGGUUGCGCAGGAACUUGAAAGGUCGUCCGUAAUCAUUCAGAAUCCAUAACAAAAUGGACAUUAGAGAGAAAUCUGACAGGAAGCUAUGUGGCGUAUGCAGAUUAGUCGGUCAUAAUCAGAGUAAAUGCCCGCUCCGAAACUACCAUAUUAGACAAUCAUCGUGAUCAAGUAGAAAUUGAGAUGUUGUUCAUUACAUGUUGAGAAGAUUGAAUCUAAAAUUUGUCUACAAUUUGUUGCAGUUAAUCUAAUUUGACUUACAAAGUUAAUCUAAAGUUUAUUUAUUUAAAUUGAAAAAAACCAUAAAAUUGAUAACUAAAAUAGCGAAAAAGUUAUUACAUAAAUACAAAGUUUACUAUUUAAAUUGCAAAAAAAAAUCAUAAAAUUGAUAAAUAAAAUGAAAAAAAAGUCAUUACAUAAAUAUAAAGUUUACUAUUUAAAUUGCAAAAAAAAAUAAAAUUGAUAAAUAAAAUGACAAAAACUUCAUCACAUAAAUAUGAAGUUAUUUAUACCCCUUAAAAUUGAUAGUUUGAUGGUGUGGUUCUAGGGGUAUAUUUUUGUGGAGCUUGACGUUCACAUUGCGAGAGAUUGUGUCAAUCAACGUUCUCUUCAUCCAUAUAUGGGGGUGUACGAAACAUAGAGGAAAAAUCAUGUCUCAAAUGCCAUCGAUGAACUUGAGCCGGAAGGAGUGGAGUACGGCGAUGGAUACGGGCCGAGAGGAGUGGAGUACUGAGAUGGAUAAGAGCCAGGAUGACUGGAGUACUAAGAUGGUAGUGGGCUGAAGAUAUCAAACUAUGAAUGAUAUUCGCGGCCUGAAGAGCAUGGGAAAUUGUCAUCGCCCCCAAAUCUGGAUGAUAAGAACUAUCCCCAGAGUGUAGUUCAGGCUUUGCCUCCGGCUCUGGUGCAUGAUACGGAUUUGGAAGGUGUUGUCCAAUUCAUGUCGUAUGCCGGGGGGGACUACCAUGUACCUUACCGCCCACCAAACAAAAAUGGUUUCCCUGUGUCACAGCACCACUGUAUGUACUCCAACAAGGGCUGCAGAUCCAAAGCACGAUCCAUCUGAGGUACCCUCCCCAACCGGUUGUUCCACAUCGUAAUAUAUUCUUCAUCACUUCUUCCUAAUCAUUUCCAUGCUUCCCCCUCCUGUUAAUCCUAUGGAUCUUCCCCAAUCGUACUAGCAGUGUUGGGAUAUACUGUAUGCAACCGAACUGCCAAAGUACUCGAUCGCCAUGAUACCUCUCCACUAUCUGAAAAUUGAUAACGGGUGCGCUAAUGCACCAUAGGUUUAAGUGGACGUGGGCAGACAAGGGAAUAACCGUCAUAAUUUCUGGAAUAGAAUACGACAUCCAAAUGAACUACACAGUUAAUAACAUUGUUAUAUUAACGUGGGUUGAGUGAGAUAAAAUAACAAAAUUAAGUUGAUAUUGGAAAAACUUACCCCUUCUCCAUCAUGAUUCUCGAUCAUCAGAUGGCAUAUCAGAACCGUAUAUGACCUCCCGAUACCCGAAUUAGUGCUCCAUCUACGAAAACAAAUUGUUAGAACAAUAUAAUCCUAAAAAAAGUCAACUAAUUGUUAUAAUGAGUAAAAAUUCAUCACCUAUUAACGAGUGGAAAUACAUAUGAUUGGUGACUAAUAGAUGCCAAGAAUGGCAUCUGGUAAAGUGCCCACAACUGCAUCAGUAUGAGGCUUCCGCCUAUGUCCAUUGCAGAAGGAUCUGUAGUCCGAUAAAGUUCGCGAAACAACAUGGCUAACACUGCGGACCUCCAACUGUAUUAACGAGUGUUAUGCAAAUUGGAUAAUAUGGGUAAGUACAUCAAGUGGACUGUACUUCCGUUUGCAUCCAACAUGAGUAGACCCCCUAUAAGGCGCAUAAUGUAAGAUCGAACAGUCUGCAUCACCUCCCAUUCAUUGGCAGUACUCAACAAAUACUCAAAAUUGGCCUUUAGCCAUGAAAACCUCAAACUGGAAAUUUUCCCCUCACUUGGAGAGCGUCCAAGUAAGUCAUAGCAAAUGACAGCCGGCCUAGAGAUCGAACUUACGCCCGUGACUGCAUUCCCGUCGAUGGAGAGCCCGAGCUGUAGUGUAACAUCCUCUAGAGUGAUGGUGCACUCCUCGCACGGCAAAUGAAAUGUGUAGGUCUCCGGACGCCAUCGCUCGACUAAAGCGGAAAUCAAGUCGUAUCGUAGAUCAAAAGUCCGAAUCAAUGUCGCUGAUUCGAACCCAGCUAACUCUAAGUAUGACAUUAGGCGUUCAUCUGGCAGAAACUCUACAAUAUUAACACAGCCCCUCAAGACGCGGUACGGGCCCUGACAUUAUUAAAUUAGCAAAAUAGUUAAUACAAUAUAAUUUAAUUCCGCAAAUAACAUGAGUAUCAAAUAAAAAUUUCUUUACCAUUUCAUUAAUAGUACUUGAUAUGUGAUUAUUAUUAAUCAAAAAAUCCAUUUGUUGCAAAUCUGCAAUUAAAAAAAAUCAAUUCAUUUAAUUUGUUUCAAAAAAUAUAAUAAUUAUUUCAAAUUUCAGAAACAAAACACGGUAAAUAUCUCAUAAUUUUCCAUAAUUUACCUACAAUAAAAAAAUAUUAGUUUACGAUAAUAUUAUAAUUAAAAUAAAUAUAAACUAUCUAAACAUAAAAAACAUACGAAUUAAAAAAAUAAAAAUAGAAAUAGAAACAUACCUGAUUAGUUUAUUUCAAACAGCCUAUAAAAUUAUAUAACAACAAAUCUAAUCAACAUUUUAGUAAAUCAAUAAAAAUUGUCAAAUAAAUAAAAAUAAAAUAAAAUUACAUUAUUAUAAAUUACAUUAAAAAAUCACAAAACACUAAACACUAACAAUUUAUAUAACCUAAUCAUAAACUACUAACAAAAUAACUAUAAAUUUUUUUUUUUUUAAAAAUACAUUACUAAAAUAUCACAAAACACAUAACUAAACAUUAACAAUUUAUAUAACCUAAUCAUAAAUUACUAACAAAAUAACUAUAAUUUUUUUUAAAUUACAUUACUAAAAAAUCACAAAACCCUAUACUAAACACUAACAAUUUGUAACAUAAUCUCAUAAAUUAUUAACAAAAUAAAUAACUAUAACAAAACACAAAACACUAACAAUUUAUAACCUAAUCAUAAACUACUAACAAAAUAACUAUAAAUUUUUUUAAAAAAAUUACAUUACUAAAAACUCACAAAACACAACAAUUUAUAAUAAAUUACUGACAAAAUAUUUAAUAAAAUAAUUUUAUAUUACUUAAAACUCACCAAAUACUAAACUAAAUACAACAACAAUUUAUAACAUAAACCUAAAUUACUAAUAAAUUAGUUUUAGAAUAAUUACAAACACAACAAUUCAUAACAUAAUCCUAUUACUAACAAAUUGAUUUUAAAAUAAUUAUAAAAAAAUAAAAAAAAUUACAUUCAUACAAAAUAUUAACCCAAAACCAUAAACAUUAAACAUAAAUAAUUUAUAAAUAAUAAUUAAUAACAAAAAAAAAUUCACAACAUAUUAAUUAAACUCUUUAAAUUAUAAACAAAAUUAUUUACUAAAAUAAUACUUUUUGUUUCUUUCUUUCUUUCUUUCUUCUUCUUCUUCUUUUUUUUUUUUUUCUCCUUUCUCUCUUUUCUUUUUCUCUUCCGGUAGUUGCUUGAACUUGGGGGACCAUGCUUAUAAGGUCCCCCAUUUACAAUUUUUUUUUCCCAUGUGAAGGGACUACCAAGCCGUAGAGGGGUGCAGGGAGGGUUAUGCGGGGCAGAGGGGCGUAGGGGGCAGGCAAUUGCGCCUACCUGUCAAGCACGAUUAGUUGUGCCUAUCUAACACGUGCGACCUAUUUUGGGCAUUUUUAACCCGUAUUUUGAUCUAUAUACAUAUUUAAAUAUUUUUUUAUAAAAAUAAAAUAAUAAUAUUUUCUUUAAAGUAAAAAAUAUUUUAAGCGCAAAAAAUAUUUUAAGUGCAACCCAAAAACAUACUAUUUUCGUAACAACUUAUUUCAAUAAUUAAUUUUUUUAAUUAUUUUGAUAAAAAAAUCGAUUUUACUACAUACUUAACUCCACUAAAAAUAAACCAAACUCAGCUGCUUCAAAAACAACAAACUACCGUAUAUAAAACCAAAAACUAACAUUGAAAUUCAGUAGUUGAACUUAAAACAAAUUAAGGAAACCAUUAUACCAAACACACAAACACUAACAAUAUUACAUUAAACACCAUCAACAGCAUACAUAUUAUCCAGAAAAUUAUCAUUCCAGUACAAUACACCAUCUUCUUCCUCUUCAAGUCUUCUACAUUCUUCAUCGUUAUAUUCACCUGCUUCUUCAUUAAUUUCAUUUCUAAUUCCAACUCUUUGAUUACAAAUUUUUCAUCACUUCGGCUUCGUCUAAAUUUUAUCUUCUCCUCAUUUUCUUUUUUCAGUUCACAAAUAAAAAAUUUUGCUCUUUCGCUUAAUUCGAAAUCACGCCAUUUGAAAAAGCCCACAAUCAAACACCUUAUAGUUUGAACCACUAAAUAACCUCCCAUGUCAUCAAUAAAUGGCAUUGUUUUUUUACCACAAUAGCAUAAAACAUCUUCUCCCUCAUGCUCCUAAUAAAUUCGAUAAUAGAGAUUGCCACAUUUGAGUUGAGAUAAUGAAAAAUAUGAACUCUCGAUCAUUUUGUUAACCCUAAAUAGAGAAAUAAAAAAAUCAUAAACUCAAUGAAAAAUAAAAUAUUUUUACAAAAGAAUAGGUGGGGUUAUGGAUAACCCCGAUUGAAUGAAAGAAUAAAACCCAAAAAUUGAAAUAAAUUAUUAAAACAAAACCCACUUUAAAUCGAAACCAGCAGAGCAAAAUCACUCAUGGAUGAUGAAGAAAGCAAUCACAAUGGCAAGCCCUUUUAGGGUGUUCAAAUUUUUGGGAAUUCUUUCAGAAGAUUAAAGACCUUUUUAAGUUUGAUACUUUUGGUUCAAUUCCAGAGUAUCGUUGGACUUUACAAAUAAUUUUCCUUUUUUUUAACUGUUGGAAUUCAAUGAACCCAUCUCAAUUAUUUAACUUUUUCCACAUCAGCAAGAAUACAUGUCAGCAAAAAUACGUGUGGCGUGCGAUCAUGCAUUCUAUUAGCCACAUCACCCAAAGUUAAUGGUCGACACAAUCAACACCGUUCUAUGUUAAUGGAAUGGAUAACAUGAUUUUUUUCUUUAGUGAAUAAGAAAUUGAUUUUUUUUCAUUUUUUGUUAGGGAUUUUUGUAUGCAUGAUAGUUAAUAUUAAUGACAAUGCUUGAAUAGGUAUUGAAGAUAUUCUUUUUCCUUGUAAGAAGAUGUCUGUUAGUAAAAUGCUGUCAGAUGGUGCAGUGAGAAGAGGCUACUUAAUUUUUUCUCGCACCAUACACCAUGCAUGGGAAACUACUAGAUAAAUAUAUGUGUUGUUGCUUCUUUUUUGUUUCAAUAUUUUUUUAUGCUUCAACUUCUUUGGUCAUUGAGCUAAUCAAGCAAAACUUUUUUUUUCUCAGCAGAAAACUUUAUUAUUAAGAAAGCCACUAAAUUAGUGGCAAAAUAAAGACCCAAACACAGGUCAAUGUAAUUCCCACCAGACAAAGAAAACACCACCAGUAAAAGAAGUGUUCAAGAAAUACAGCAAAAAAUGCAAGCAUAAAACAAACCCUGAUCAGGAAAAAAAAUCCCCAUCUUAAGGCCCAAAACCAGCACACAAUACACCAAAUUGGCAAGCUUCACCACCAUGCCAAUAAGAGACUUGUUCUAUUUGUUCCAACUUUUGCAAGUGCAUCUACCAUGUCAUUUGCCUCUUUGAAACUCGUUGACAUAACACAGUUGUUUAUAGUUGACAAAUGCUGUUGUCGAUUUGAUUAAACAUCUCCCUAAGUUUCCAAGGACGAGACAAAGUAAAUUGACACCAGUUCUCCACCACAACUGAGUCCGAUUUGAUAAUAAGUGGAACCAAAUUCUUUCAUUCAAUACUUUCAUAAGUAUUCAAUGUUGUCUUGAUGGCAAUACCACUACCACAUUAGAAUCGGUAAUGCCCAACUGGCUAGAAAACAAUGCUGAAAUAUCUCUUGUCGAAUUCCCUAAGACUCCCCAACAUCUCCCUAGACUCGACUUACCCCUUAUGGAUCCAACGGCAUUAAAUUUGAAAGAUCUGCUUAGAGGUGGAGACCACAAUAUGCCUUUAUGAACAACACACCCACGGCUUGAUGAUACACGUAAAAGUGGGUUAUCCUAACAUGUUCACUCUAAGAUACAAGGAUCUUCUUUCAAAGCUUGAAUCCAGUACAAUGUUCUCAAUUUGCAUUAAAAGAAGAUGUCAGUAAUCUUCCAUUGUUUACUUUCGAACCAAGCCGCGUUACACCCCAACCAAAUAGACCAAAAAUCGCAUGAAGCUAAUAAUCCAUAACCUUUUGACAAUACUUGUGAAAUUAAACUCUAAAUAGCCAUGCAAAAAGAUCGAAAAAUCACAGGGAAAGAAAAAUGAAAUCAGCUACCAAUUGAAAAAUAACGUCUAAAACUCAAGAACCUAGUUGCAUUCGAAAAAUAAAUGACCUUGAGCUUCCGAUAUUACCUUGCACGCUAAACAUUGAAAUGAGGUCUCUUACAACUAGUUAAGUAUAUAGCAAAUAGGUCGAUCUUAUUAUACUAGGAGUUUAGUUGGUUAAUGACAUUCGGUUUUCAUUCAUUAAAUUCAAAUAAAACAAAAUAAAAGGAACUAAGAAAAGUAUCUAAGAAAAGAAGCUAUAUAGAUUCACAUUUAUUGUCACACUUGCGUAAAGGUUAACAUUUAUCUGGUUAUUAUGGUAACAUGGUUUCUUGGCUUGAAACUUUUUCUUGCAGCAAAGGUGCAAACUGGAAAGUUAAACUUGGAAUGAUCAUGCUUUUAAGGUAAUGCUUCUUUUUUAUUGUGAUGAAUCAUUUUGAAAGAAUAGAGUUGCUAAUCAUGGGAUUAAUAUAGAUUUUUGGGUACUUCAUUUUGCAUUUUUCAUCAGUCUUCUCUUUUAGUUCUUGUAUCGUUUCUCUUGAAAAUUAGAUUGUUGAACUUUAGCCAUGGACUUGUGUUAGUUUUUGGUGUUGGGUUUUUGCCUCUUAUUUUUAACUUUUUGUUGUUUUUAUUUGUGUCAUUUCAUUGCUGUUUUCAUUUUUUCCAUAAAUAUCAAUAAUGUUGCAUAUCAUGUUUAAUGGAGGCAUUAUCAGGAUCCUCUUUUCUUUUCUUUUUAUUUUCUGGGCCAACGAAGAGAAAAAGGGUGGUGUGAGUUUUAGCAAUUAGAGGAAUGGGUAAAUUCUUAGGGUGACCUACCGGGAAAUUGUAGUAUGGUGACCGUGUCUUGAUGACUAUAAACUAUUAGCUCUUUAUAUCCAGUGUUGCAAAAUAUACAGGUAGAUAAGUUGAAAGGGAAAGAUGAUAGUGAAGAGAAGAAACCGACAGGCGAUAAACUUUGCAGCUUGAUGCUGACAAAUACAGAUCAGUGACGAACAAUGAUGAUGAUAGCCAAGAGUUUAUAUUUGUCGACCACUUUCUUGCAAGAGCUUUCACAUGGAUUUAGUCAUGACAAGAUUGCAUCAAACAGCCCCUUUGGGUGGAAAAGUGCCGACUAUAAUAAGCAAGUUGGGUUCUUUGGACCCAUUUUUCGAAGUAAUAUCUGAAUUAUGUCAUCACAACCAAUUUCUCUAUCAUGAAAUAUCUAGUGUAUGGAAAUAUCUCAUGGAUGGCUGAUGUUAAGAUUUUAGCUUUUCAACUAUUCUUGAAACACUUGCACGAGCGAGGAUACUUUAUGCUUCCUCACCACUUUGGUUAAUUAUUGACUUGUAAAAUCAUUUGAAACCUAAAUUACUAGGACUCAAAUGUGAAAUAAGACAUGGGUAUGUGUUUGAAUUAGUAUAUUCAAUUUUUUUAGGUUCUCCUAUUAAAAGUUGGAGCAACUAAUUAAACAUCCCACCAUCCCAUAGUUACCUUCCGUUUUUAUGAAUAUUUCAUUUUGUAAUCCCAGUGAGCCUAUUGUCUUGCAUCCUUACAUACACAAUAAAUCAUAUUUGUUGGUUUUUUUAUUAUUAUUAUGAAACUCAUAACUUAAUCCUCCAUGAAUAUGUUUAAGACACAGUUACUCCCAUUGUUAUUAUACAAGAUAUCUUAAAAGAUCAUUAUUUCAUAAACUUGUAUCAAAAGAAUGGACCCCGCAAUCCUAUUGAUUUUUUCUACGAGAGUGAUCUACUGACAUAAUUGACUAUAUGAUUAGAAUGCCUAUUAGGGUUAACUAUAUAGUGAAUAGUAUAUGCUAUUUUAGUCGUUGAUAUUCACCAUAAUUAGAAACUUAAGAAAAUUGAGAAUACUUAUAGACGUAUGUGCGCAUCUGACAUUCAUUAAUGUAAUUUCAGACGUUCAUCUUCUGGAAUCUGGAGUUAUCCAACGAUUAAUAUAGUCAUGUGUAGCAACAUUAUCUGCUUAUAAGACUUUCAAAUGCUAUGAUUUGGUCAUGAUAGGUUUACCUUUUCAUUUUUUUUUUUGUAAUCUAGUAGAAACCAAUGCAUCAUGGAUUGUCGCAUGUCUCACUUUAUUCAUCAAUUUUCUUGAAAUAAAACCUUUCUUGCAGUGAUUACUGACACCCCAUAAUGCACAAAAAGGCUUAAAUAUCUGAUUCAAAGCUUUAUUGACACAGUAAGUUGCAUGAAUCCAAGUUUUAUUAAUUUAAAUCAUUCCAAUGGUUUGUAACGUUCUUUUUUUCUUUUUACUUUACUUAUUGAUAAUGGGUAUAAUUAAUUUCUUUUAAAAGUUUAAUGUACUUGGAGAGUUUUAAGAGAAUCAUCUUCUCAUAUCUAGAUUUGAAUAUGCCAUACAUUAAUAUUUUUAGAAAAAUGAAGAGUGGGAUGAAUAAAGUUAACAUUUCUAUUAUAAGUAUGUUCAAUGUUUUUUUUUUUUUAAUUUCAUCUAUAAGAAGGAUCAUAUUCUUAUAUUUAUAUUGAAAUAUUUGCUGAAAAUAACUAUUAAAUACGGUAUUUUAGAAAAAUGAAAAGUUUAUGUAUCAUAACUUAUCAUUUUAUUAACUUUUAAUUUCGUUUGAUGUUAACAAAAAUCUUUGAUGACACACCAAAAGGAAAGAGAAAGACAGGAAGAG
Molecule: long non-coding RNA, 48150 nt
Filed under: Gossypium barbadense (sea-island cotton)
Lineage: Eukaryota; Viridiplantae; Streptophyta; Magnoliopsida; Malvales; Malvaceae
Description: long non-coding RNA (GBAR_LNC009318)
Source: RNAcentral